This 66267-nucleotide long non-coding RNA is filed under the name Gossypium barbadense (sea-island cotton). RNAcentral describes it as "long non-coding RNA (GBAR_LNC000507)". Lineage: Eukaryota; Viridiplantae; Streptophyta; Magnoliopsida; Malvales; Malvaceae. The record is from RNAcentral.
CCCUUUCCAGGCAAAUCACAGGUAUAAUUUCUCCUCUUUACUUUUAAAAGUAUUUUCCUGUAUUACAACUCAAAAAUGAACUGUUUUCUCUUUGCUUUUUUAAAAUCUGUUUCUGGAUCGUUUGUUGUAUUAAAAAUACAUGUAUGUAUAUAAUAAAAAAGAAAGAAAAUAAUAGAGAAUAAAAAUAGUAAAACCUUUGAAUCUGUUGUUUUCGUAUUGAACCUCUGUAUUUUUUAUUGCUUCUUUGUGUGUAUUUUUCAGAACGUAACUUUUACAAGUGAAAGGAAAGGCUUUAUAGCCUUGGUCCCUUACAUAUUUUGGGAAAGAAAUCUAAGAUUUCUUUCCAUUCUAUGUCUUCUAUAUCUUUGACUGAUAUAUUGUGAUUUUCUUGCCAUUUCUGCUUUGCUUUUUUUCGCGUAUCUGCUGUUUGUUUCCUUUUCUUGCAGGUAUCAUCGAGGAAUCCGGCAGUGACCGUGCUGGUGUGGAUUCGCGCGCUGAUCACGGAGGCAGAGUCACGGCACUGAUGGAGGGUAGCUGAAACAAUGAGAGUUGAAGAGGCGCAACCCUUAGGCUGAUUGCGGCGCGAACCCUAGCUAGGGUUUCUCUGCUGCUGAAAAUAAGUUAGGCUAAUUGGGCCAAUUAAAUAUUGGGCUAGUUUAGUAUAUCUGGGGUAGGGUAUAGCUGGGUAUGGUUGUUUGGGUCAAGGGUGUAAAUGGGCUUAGCUAAAUUGUUUCGGUUUUGGGCCUACGGUUUGGGCUUUGUAACAUGGACUGUUUAAAUAAACAAACAUUUAUUUAUUUAUUUUUUGUGUUUCUAUUUUGGUUUUAAGACCCGGUCAAAUUUGGGCUAUUACAGCUGUCCCUCUUUGCUCAUUGCAGUGUAACAGGAAUCGAGCAAAGACUCAUAGAAAGACCAAAUUUGACCGGUCUUAUUAAAUCAUGGUCUUCAGGCUGCUUCUUGCAAACUCAUAACUGUCAUGUUGAUAUCUUCGAUUUGCUCUCCGCCAAACCAAAGACACCAAAUCAGCUUUUUUGAUCUGCUCUCUGACAAUGCAGAAAUGACAAAUCGUCUUGUUUCAAUCUAACCAUCUGAAGGUCAGAUCUGCCAUAUAUCUGCUCCCCAUUGAAUGUGGAGAUGCCAGACUUCGAUUUGUUCUCUGACAAUACAGAGAUACCAAAUCAUCUUAGAUUUGCUUCAUCGUAAAUACGUGAAGCCAAAUCAGCUAUGUCUUUGAUUUGCUCCUCGUAAGCACAGGGAUGCCAAAUCAUCUUGGAUUUAUUUGAGAACAUUUGAGAGUCAAAUCUACUAUGUCCUCGAUUUGUUCCUUGUAAAUACAAGAAUACCAAAUCAUUUUGGAUCUUGCUUCAGUCUAAUCGCCUGAAGAUCAGAUCUGCCACGUAUCUGCUCCCCAUUGAAUGUGGAGGGGCUAGUCUUCGAUUUGUUCUCUAACAAUACAGAGAUGCCAAAUCAUCUUAGAUUUGCUUCAUCGUAAACACGUGAAAGCCAAAUCGGCUAUAUCUUCGAUCUGCUCCCCACCGAAUACAGAGAGAUAAGAUCUGUCAUCUUGGAUCUGCUUCAGCGUAAACAUCUGAAGGUGAGAUCUGCUAUGUGUCUGCCUUCCAUCAAAGUGGAAAUGCCAGACUUCGAUUUGUUUUCUGACAAUACAGACACGACAAAUCAUCUUAGAUUUACUUCAUCGUAAACACAUGAAAGCCAAAUCAGCUAUAUCUUCGAUCUGCUCCCCGCCGAAUACAGAGAGAUAAGAUCUGUCAUCUUGGAUCUGCCCCAAUGAAGGUUAGAUCUGCUAUGCUGCAGCCUAUUACCCUACUAUUUUGGGUUUUAAACCUGUAAAAUGAUUAUGCUUGAUAAUUUAGGAUGCUAUGCUUGAAAUAAGUCGAAUGUUCCUAAUUAAAUAUGUUAUGAUGCAAAAUGUCAUGAAUAUGAUCCCUAUCCUAGACGUCAUCACUCAUUCCUUCAUUUGUCUUUUCUUUUCUCAAUGUUUCAUUCAUGCUCAGCCUGUAAGCCGUCCUCCAAUGCUAUGAUCCACUAAGGAUGUCUGUAAGGACUGAACUGUUGGCUUUGUCUAUUUUCCUUUUGGACUAGAAAGGAAUUCCUCGAGUUCUUUCAUCCCUUACUUACGUGAAUUUCUCGAACAAUUGUCCUGUUUUAGUUUCUUGUAUUAUCUAAAAAUUCCAGAGUAAUGCGCAAAACCUCGUUUGUGAACAUAUUUAAUUCAUCUAUUAUUUUUUCAAUGCAACAUACUUAAAGAAUAAUAGAAAAUGAAUAAACUUUUAAGAAUAAUUGGAUUUGAAUGAAUUAUCAAAAAGAUACAAAAGGGAAUCAAUCUGCUAGCCUAUCUUUUAGAAGAAAUAGAAUCUAAAGAUAGCCAACAAGAUAGAAGUUAGAUCGCCGCUUGAGUGCCUAUACACCAGCUCCAUGAAGUCUUUCUUGAGUUCAACAUAUGUUUAAAAGAUCCCAAGUACUCUGUUGAUGCCCCAGUUUACAGCAUUCUCUGCUCUUUGUAGCAAGAUCAUUGUGUACUCUUCAAAAUUUGAUAUGCCCUUUCAAGUUUUCAACUCAAAACCCCUUUGGUCACAAGGUGCCCUUUGCGGGUUUUCACCUUGGCCUCUCCGUUUUUUUUUUCGAAUCUCAAGGCGCCCUUUGCGAGUUUUCACCUUAGAUUCUCUUCUUCUUUAGACAAAGUAUUUUUUAACUGAGUCUGAGUUCACUGGAUUGGGUAAACUUUUCCCAUCCAUUUCUGCUAAGAUCAAUGCACCACCAGAGAAAGCUUUCUUCACGACAUACGGCCCUUCCCAAUUCGGCAUCCAUUUUCCUCUAAAAUCUUUUUGAAUAGGAAGGAUCUUUUUCAGUACAAGGUCUCCCUCAUGGAAUUCUCUUGGUCGAACUUUCUUGUCAUAAGCUCGCAUCAUUCGCUUCUGAUACAUCUGACCAUGUCGAAUGGCUUUUAGCCUCUUUUCCUCAAUCAAGUUCAACUGGUCAUACCGGGACUGAACCCACUCAGCUUCAUCUAACUUUACCUCCAUUAAAAUUUGAAGAGAAGGUAUUUCUACUUCAAUAGGUAAUACUGCUUCCAUCCCAUAAACUAGCGAGAAUGGAGUUGCCCCAGUAGAGGUUCUGACAGAUGUUCGAUAGGCUAGGAGUGCAAAUGGCAACUUCUCAUGCCAAUCUCUAUAGGUCUCAGUCAUCUUCCCCACUAUUUUCUUAAUAUUUUUGUUGGCAGCUUCCACUGCCCCAUUCAUUUUUGGACGAUAGGGAGAAGAAUUGUGAUGCUUGAUCUUGAACUGGUCACAAACCUCCGCUAUCAUUUUGUUAUUUAAGUUCAAUGCAUUGUCAGAUAUGAUCUUUUCAGGCAUUCUAUAUCGACAAAUGAUCUCCUUCUUCAAGAAUCGAAUCACUGCUAACUUAGUAACAUUCACAUAAGAGGCGGCCUCUACCCACUUUGUAAAGUAGUCAAUUACCACGAAGAUAAACCGAUGUCCAUUCGAAGCUUUCGGUGAUAUUGGUCCAAUAACAUCCAUGCCCCACAUGGAAAAAGGUUAUGGAAAAGUCAUAACAUGCAAAGGUGAAGGUGGAACAUGAAUUUUGUCCCCAUAAAUCUGACAUUUAUGGCACUUCUUGGUGUAGUUAAUACAGUCUCCUUCCAUAGUAGCCCAAUAAUAGCCAAACCUCAUGAUUUGCCUCGCCAUCGUGAACCCAUUUGCAUGUGUUCCGCACACACCUUCAUGAACUUCUUCUAAAAUUAGCUUAGCUUCCACAGCAUCUGCACAUCUCAAAAGUACUUGGUCUUUCUGUCUCUUGUACAGGAUAUCUCCAUCUAAAACAUAGUCGCAAGCUAACCUCCUCAAAGUUCGUUUAUCAUUUUCACUGGCCUGUUCAGGGUAUUUACGAUCUCUCACAUAUCGCAAUAUAUCUUGAUACUAGGGGUUAUUGUCAUUUCCUUCAUUCUCAAUGUUACAACAAUGAGCUAGAGCCUCGUAAACACUCAUUUGAAUCGGCUUCAUUUCUUCUUCUUUAUUCGCCUUGAUCAUUGAGGCCAAGAUUGCUAAAGCAUCUGCCAUCUGAUUUUCCUCUCGUGGGAGAUAAUUGAAGGUGAUGCUACCAAAUUCCUCAAGUAACCCCAAAAUUACCUUUCAAUAACUAAUCAAUUUAGGGUCCCUUGUCUCCCAUUCACCUCUAAGCUGAUAAACAACCAACACUGAAUCUCCAUAUACUUCUAGAGUUUUUAUACCUCGCUCUAUAGCUGCUUGCAGUCCCAUGAUGCAUGCUUCAUACUCAGCCAUAUUAUUCGUGCAAUCAAAAUCCAACUUGUACGUAAAAAGGGUAAUGAUCACCAUUUCCGACUGCAUUAAAAGCCCCAUCAAAAUUGAGCUUCCAAGAAGAAUUUUCAGUUAUUGCUAUACACAUCAACUCCUCUUUUGGAAAAUCGAAGUUCAAUGGCUCAUAAUCCCCUAGAGCCCUACUGGCCAAGAAGUCUGCUACCGCACUUCCUUUUAUAGCCUUAUGACUUAUGUAGACUAUAUCAAACUCUGAAAGCAAAAUUUGCCAUCUCGCCAUUCUCCCAUUUAGAGCCGUUGACUCCAUCAUGUAUUUCAACGGAUCAAGUUUUGAGAUGAGCCAAGUGGUAUGGUAUAGCAUAUAUUGUCUUAAUCUCCGAGUUGUCCAAAUCAGCGCACAACACAACUUUUCAAUUGGUGAACAUCUCAUCUCACAGUCAGUGAAUUUCUUACUGAGAUAAUAAAUUGCCUUCUCCUUUUUCCCUGAUUCGUCAUGCUGGCCAAGCACACAUCCCAUAGAAUUAUUGAACACUAACAAGUACAGUAUUAAUGAUUUAUCUGGCCUUGGUGGAGACAAUACCGGAGCAUUCAACAAAUACUACUUGACCUUUUCAAAAGCAUUCUGACAUUCCUCAUCCCAAGUACCUUGGUUGUGCUUUCUUAGGAGGCGAAAGAUAGGAUCACAUUUCUCGGUUAGUUGUGAAAUGAACCCAGUAAUGUAAUUCAACCUUUUUAGGAAUCCUCGAACUUCCUUCUGAGUACGUGGUGGAGGUAACUCUCGUAUGGCUCUGACCUUGUCUGAGUCGACUUCAAUUCCUUUUUCACUGACUACGAAGCCUAAUAACUUUCCUGAUCUGGCUCCAAAGGUACACUUUGCUAGAUUGAGCUUCAACUGAAAUUUUCUCAACCUCAAGAACAAUCUUCUCAAAACCUCAAUAUGUUCUUUUUCUGUACUCGACUUGGCAAUCAUAUCAUCAACAUAUACCUCAAUAUCCUUAUGCAUCAUAUCGUGGAACAAGUUCACCAUGGCCCUUUGGUAUGUUGCCCCUGCGUUCUUUAAUCCAAACGACAUUACUUUGUAGCAAAAAGUACCCCAUAAGGUUAUGAAGGUGGUUUUAUCCAUGUCCUCUAGAUGCAUCUUUAUCUAAUAGUAUCCUGAGAAACCAUCCAUGAAGGAGAACAACGAAUAUCCUACUGUGUUGUCCACCAAAGUGUCAAUGUGUGGUAAAGGAAAAUUAUCCUUUGGGCUUGCUUUGUUCAGAUCUCUGUAAUCAACACACAUUCGUACUAUCUCAUCCUUCUUAGGAACAGGCACAAUGUUAGCUACCCAUUCAGAGUACUUCACUUCUUGUAAGAAUCCUGCAUCAAACUGCUUCUUGACUUCAUCCUUUAUUUUCAAAACGAUUUAUGGCCUCAUUCUUUGUAACUUCUAUUGGACUGGCUUACAAUCCUAUCUUAUCGGAAGUUGAUGUACCACAAUUUCGGUACUCAAUCUAGGUAUAUCCUGAUAUGACCAGGCGAAAAUAUCUUUGAACUCUCUAAAAAACUCAACCAGACCAUGUCUUGUGUCCUCGUUAAUUAGGGUUCCGAUUUUCAACUCUUUCCCUUCCUCUAGGGUUAUAUUCUCUAUUGCCUCUUUCUCAUGUGGCAUGAUUUGUUUCUCCUCUUGCUUUACCAUUCUUAACAGAUCGAGAGAAAUGUCACAAUCUUGAACAUCUUCAAAAUCUUGAGGUUCCUCUGAACACAUGUUUUGCUCACCAGAGAAAUUAAGAGCUGUAGUAUCAGCACUCAUAUCAUUGAUAUCUAGGGACCUGUGGGUGUAUGAAAGAAUAUACAAAGAAUAAAUGAAUCUAAGAAUGAUUGUUUAUGUGCUAUGAAUGAAAGAAUAAGAAUUUCCAGAAUUUAAAGGAAUAUUGGUCGAUAAAAAUGAAACAAUACUCGUUUAAAUUGAUAAAAGUUAUGUUUUAUUUAAAUAAUUAUAGAUGAACAUAGACCUUUUUCACAAACAUAAUCUUACUACUCCUAGGCCCUAGAGUAACAAACAUGUUUCGGGAAUUACUCUGAAAAGUUUCUAAAGACUACAGGAAGGUCCUCUGCGGUCCAAUUAUUCAGAAAACUCCUCGAUUCGUAAGGGCAAAUGCCCUCAAGGUUUCCUUGCUCCGAUCCCUCAUUAUGUACAGCAUUAACUUGAUGACUUUCCUCUAUCAUCAAUCCUCCUGACCUAAAGGAUUUGGAUAUAGGUGGGAAUGUCAUCUGUUCCCACUCCACUUCUCUUCCAUUCAAACGCGCCUUUCUUCUCGCUUGGCGCUUCUCUAUUUCUUGCCCCUUGUGCUUGUGGUCUGGCUUGAAGCCCAAGCCAAAGCGGUCCUUCUUCUCAAUCAAUUUUGGGAUUUGAACCCCUCCUUGCAACUAUCUUCCUAGCCCCUUUCCCGGCAAUGCUCCUUUCCCUAUCAUCAUUUGCAGGGCCAUCCUAGUGGCUCUAGACAUUUUGGGUACCGGCACCUCGCUUCCUUCCAAAAUGAAGGUGGCAUUAAUGAUUUCUAAAUAGCGAAAAGAACACUCAAUAGCCUCUUCAUUGGCCUCAACAUAAGGGGCCUUGCUGCUGACUGCUGCUAUGAUAUCCUAUUCCGCGUUGAUGGUUAUUAAGCCUCCAUCUGUCACUAACUUCAAUUUUUGGUGCAAUGAAGAAGGCACCGCUCCUGCCGAGUGUAUCCAUAGUCUCCCCAAUAAACAAUUGUAGGAGGGCUUGAUAUCCAUCACUAGAAAAUCAACUUCAUACGUAUUUGGCCCAAUCUCCAGAGGGAUGUCAAUUCGUCCCAUUACUUUUCUUUCAGUUCCAUCGAAGGCUCUUACCACGUUAUGACAUGUUUUCAUAUGUGAACUGUCAAUGGGUAAUCUGUUCAAGGUGGAUAGCGGCAGGACGUUCAAAGCAGACCCAUUAUCCACGAGUACAUUUGGAAGUGUGUAUCCUUUGCACCGAGUAGUGAUGUGUAGGGCUUUGGUUGACCCUAUGCCCCCAAGUGGAAUUUCAUCAUCAUUAAAAUAGAUGAAAUUGUCAACACUGAUGUUGUUUACUAACCGGUCCUGCUUGUUAACGGAUAUGUCAUGGGUGACAUAUGUUUCAUUAAGCACUUUUAACAACGCAUCUCGAUGCGCCUCAGAACUCAAGAGUAGGGCUAAUACUAAUAUACGUGCCGGCUACUUGUGCAACUACUUGACUACGCUAUACUCGCUAUGUUUCAGGAAUUUUAAAAACUCCUUAGCUUCUUCCUCCUUUACCAGCUCAUUGAUGGGUAUUUCAGUCUCCUUUUCCUUUUCAGCCUCGGCAUUUUCUGUCUUUGUGGGCUCCACUCUGAUAUUCCCCCGUCAUAACAUUUCCCACUUCGUGUAUGGGAACCUUCAUUUUGCCUGCCCCUGGCCGCGCUAGCUAUACUCUCCACCUCAGGUAUUGUUAUAUUGCAGUCAUAGCUCCAUGGCACCCUCUUGUCAUCCUUGUAAGGGAAAUGAUUGGGUUUAUGGAUGACUAUUUUGGGCCCAGUUUGUGACCCCGCCUCAUUAUUCCCUGGCAAGGAAAUAAUAAUUCUUGGUUGGCUGGUUCUUUGUCGUUCAUUCUCCAGCACACAUAUUUGUCCUUCACAAGAACUACCCUCAGAAACCUGUAGUUCUUUGUUAACCAUAAGGCCUUGUACCAUGGCCUUGAAUUCUUCACAAUUUUGGAUCAUAUGACCCGCCUCUCCAUGGAAUUCACAAUGGUUCUCUAUUCCUUCUCUUCCUUUUCUAGAGGUCAGCAUACCUCUCUUCACCAUCUCCUCCCAUAUUACUUUCAUAGGUGUCUUCACCUCAGCAAUAUCUUCCUUGACUUUUCCUUUCUUUGUUUCAUCAAUGGCAUUCACUCCUUGAUUGCCAUGAUCCGGUAACAGAUUUUCAGUAUUAGGGGUACUAUCAAAUUUCACAACCCCCAUUUUGAUGAGCCUUUCCACGACCUUCUUGAACCCAGUGUAAUUUUCAAUUGAAUGCCCCGAUAUUCCCGCAUGAUAUUCGCAUUUAGCAUUUGCAUCAUACCAUUUGGGGUACGGUGGUUGCAGCGGUUUUAAGUGAAAUGGAGCAAUGGCAUGUGCAUCGUAUAAGCUUUGAUAAAGCUCACGAUAUGUCACAGGGAUAGGAGUGAAUUGCAUCCUCUCCGAAUUCUGUCUUGUACCCGAUCCCUGUCUUUGAGUACUUUGUUGCUCACCCGUAGCUGAUUUAGGUUAUCCAACUAUGAUUGCCCUAGAGUUGAAAAUGUUCAUGUUGUUCACCUCAUUGUCUUUUCUCCUUGGGGCCGAUCUUUUAGCCACUUUCCCCUCGAUUUUACCACCCCUCACGGCAUUCUCAAUCAUCUCACCUGUCAUAACUAUAUCCGCGAAACUUUUCGUGGUGCUUCCAAUUAUAUGUGUAAUGAAUGGCGCCUUCAAAGUAUUAAUAAAUAACAUGGUGGUUUCCUUUUCCAACAAUGGUGGUUGUACUUGCAUUGCCACCUCCCUCCAUCGUUGUGCAUAUUGACUAAAACUUUCAUUAGGCUUUUUCUCCAUGUUUUGAAGUGUGAUCCUAUCUGGCGUCAUAUCAGUCACAUGGUUACACUGUUACAUGAAAGCUUGUGUGAGAUCUCUCCAUGAACUGAUUCUUGCACGGCUCAACUGAUUGUACCACCUAGCCGCUGCUCCCACUAGGCUGUCCUGAAAACAAUGGAUCAAUAGUUGAUCGUUAUUCACGUAACCAGUCAUUCUUCUACAAAACAUUGUUAUGUGUGCCUCUGGGCAAGUAGUCCCGUUGUACUUUUCAAACUCUAGCAUUUUAAAUUUAUGAGGAAGCACCAAAUCUGGAACCAAACUUAAGUCUUUGGCAUCAAUCCCAUGAUGAUUGCCAGUGCCUUCUAAAACCCUAAACUUCUCCACUAACCACCUGCAACAAUCUUCCAAUUGUUUCAAGGAUUCAGUGGCCAUUCUUUCCUUCUCCAUUAAAUCUAAAUUAGGAGUAAUAGGGUUGAUCGAGCUAUCACCCAAAUUAUUUCCCAACCCAGAUGGGAAAUUUACGGGGAUUCCAGCAUCCACUGGCCCAUGUUGAGGCCUCACGGUGACAGUUGGCCUUCUAGGAGGUGCCUCAGUUUGCAGGGGCACAUGAGGCAGAGUAAAACCCGGAGGAGGAUCUUCAUUCUCCUCUUUAGUGAUCGCCAUGGGAGCUUUUCCUUUAUCAGUGGUUCUUAGCAGCUGAGCCAUUUCAGCCAUCAUGUUUCUCUGAGCCUCUAGCAUCUGCUCCCUCAUUUCAUUCUGCAUUUUGGCCAACUGUUCUUGCAUUUGAUCUUGCAUGUCUUUUUGUAAUUGCUCGAACCUUUGAACCAUGCUCUUAGUUUUAGUACGAGUGCCGUAAGGAUGUGUGAUUUCCAGAUUUUCUUUUCUACCUUUUAAAGUAAACUUUAACUAAUCAGGGUCUUUCUAUAACUUUGAAUGCAAAUGAUAUGAUGAAAUGCUAUGAGAUGCAAAUGCAUGAAUGCAAAAAGGAUAUCGAUUCUGGUUCAACUUCAUUUAGAAAAUUUUAUUUAGAAAAAGAAUGUCUUUACAUAUAAGAGGAUUACAAAUACGCUUUCGCCCUAAGGCCCAAAGCUUUAACUCUAUCUAAUAAAAGGGCUAACUCUCAUCCUACAUCCGACGAUGAUGAAUACAUCGGACUCAAUACAUCAGCUCGAAUUGCUAAGUCUUGCACAUGUUCGGCGACCUCUCGAAUCUGGGCUAUGGCCUCACCAAUGACAUGAUCCAUUUCUCUGACCUGUCCCUUAGCCUGAUGAAGCUCUCCCUUCAAAUAGCCCUCCUGCGCCUCGAGCUGCUCAACCCGGAGUUCACCGUCAUGCAAUGCCAUUUCAAAUCCUCAACCUUGCUUUUUAGCUCCUUUAACUCGAUCGUAGAGUUAUGGUUUUUGUGCCAAUGUAGGGAUCUUCCAAGCUCAGUUACCCUAGUCUUCAACCCUUUAUUUUCUUCCUCUAAUGCCAAAUUCUGUACCUACAUCUCUUGGAACUUCCUCUCCCAAUACUCGGCCCUAGCCUUUUCCUUUUGGACCUCCUUCUGCAACUGAUCUGAAGAUCUUUCUACUCUCGCCCUUCUUAAGGAUAAUUGUACCCUUUUGUAAUGUUCCUUUAGAUCAUCUCGAUCUUCCUCAAUCUUCCUCUUUUCUUUUCUCUCUUUCUCGAGCUCUAUCUUUUGAACAUCGACUUCCAAACUCAAGUACAUAUUUUCCUCUUCGAGCUUUGCUAUCCUCUUCUCAAACUCCAAGUUCUUUCUCUCGAACUCCUGUUUCAUAAUUUCUGACUCUGAGGGCCUUACUUGCAAAUAUUCUUCCAUCGGUCGAGCUUCUUCCACACUUGGCUUAGGGAUAUUAUCGUUAACCCUUCUGCCUCUCCAUUCAAUGUAUUCUGGUAUGGUUACAGGACUAAUAGCUACUCAUUUCAACCGACAAGUCUUUUUCCAAGCACUAGAAAUUUCACUAACCUUCCUUUUGUAAUCGGCUCCUCUAUAUACGAACUCACUUUGAGCCAACCCUUGAGUCGCUGGUACAAACUGUCUCAAUCCAUGCUGCCUCAGCACAGCAACGGAGCAUAACCAAUGGCACCCCAAAUUCCCAGUAGGGGUACCCAAUCAAAAAUGCCGCUUCGAUAAAGAACCUCACCAGGCAUCAUCCACGGAGCCCUCCACUCGACAUCUUUCGACUGAAGGUUCUGAAGUAGCGCUAUCCAAUUCUCUUCUAGAACAUCAACUCUCCUAGUUGAAGCUGCUAUAUCUUUCAACGGUGAAUAGUCCUCGAAGAAAACCCGACAAACCAUCCUGUCUAUUAACCGGAAAUGACUGUAGAACUAAGCCAAAAGCAACUGAGCACACCCUAUAAACCUGCCAGCACCAGCCCUCCUACAUGCACCUAAAGAUCUGAAUGUUUUCGCCAAAAUUGCAGGGACAGAAGCGACCUUUUUACUGAGUCGAUGAAAAAGAUCCGUGGUUGCCUCAUCCACAUAUCCCAAAGCCCUAGGGAAAACCAUCAAUCCAUACAAACUCAAGGCAAAAACAUCUACCUUCUUCAUCUCAUCAGGGUGUGUCAGAAUCAAAUCUUUCAAAGCGUCCCACGAAAUGCACUUGUACUCACCCUUUUCCUUAAUUCGGGCCGUGGCCCACUGCUCGCUCAUCCCUGUAAUAAUCAUCAAUUUCUUCCAAAAGGUAGGGACACAAGCAGCUCGAGAAUAGAUCCUAUCAUUCUGAAAUCUGGGACAACGGAGCAAGGCCAUGUACUCCUCCACAGUAGGUACCAUGUCUACUUCCCCAAAAGUGAAGCAAUUGUACGUCGGGUUCCAAAACUGAGCAAGGGCUCAGAAUAAGUGCUCGUCUAUCUGAACAUCAAGCAAGUAAGGUAAGUCUCCAUAAUUAUCGUAGAAUAACUACUUCGUCUCUUUGCCCCACUGAUCUCAAAUUUCCUUAAGCUCUUGGAGAUUAUUCUGUGUGACACUAAUACGAGUAUAAUCUGAUAGCUCCGACACAUAUCCCAUAGUUAUACUGUCCCCCUUUUCUAGUUGAGUUUGCUCAGACCAUCUAUGGACGUUAGCGUUGCCCUCCACUCUAUCAAGAAGUCCGUUCUCCAUAAUAAAACUUCCUAACUUAGAAACUGACCGUGAAUCGAUACCUUUGUAAAUGCAAAAUGACAUGCGAACAAAAGAAAAGAAAUAGUUAGUAUCACAUGAUAUCAAUAAAUCUCAACGAUAAUUUAUAAGGGUAAUAUCUAAAGUUUAACUCUAACCAAGUUGGGCUCUUACGGUUUUUCUAUAUGAGGUUGGUUCUAAAGUUUGAGGUACCUGAACCAGCAGAUUCCUCGAUUCUCACCCAUUAUAAGCUCAUUUGAAUCGAGUUCAGUUUAGGGGAAUACAUUUCCCUAUGGCUACACGGAGAUGAAAAUCUCACGAAACCAUAGGUACGGAUGUAUCCCAAAAGUGAUCCACUAUCCUGCACGGAGGCGAAAACCUCAUGAAAGUGUAGUUUCUCAUUCCCACUUAAGGGUGUGACCACAACGGUCAUGCAAAUGCAAUGCGCAUCAGAAUAUAGCAACACAUGCAAUAAUACAAACACAUGUAAUGCAAAGAGGAUUAGAUUUUAAAAUUUUUAAUUUCCGACAUUAAGACAAGAUAUAAUCAAUUACACGACUUGACUCUCUUAUGAAGUCCCCAGUGGAGUCGCCAAGCUGUCGAGACCAUUUUUAAAUCGAGUUUUGUAAAAUGGGAAUCGAUUUAAAAAAAACGAAAAUGGGAGUCGCCACCAAUCUUUUUAGGUGUGAUUGGAUCACCUUUAAAACAUUUUGUUUUAAAAUUAUUAGUUCUGGUCCACAAAAUAAAAGAACGGGUUCGGGAGUCGGUUACAUACGAGGAAGGAUUAGCACCCUCAUAACGCCCAAAAAAUUGGUACCUAAUUGAUUAUCAAAUGUCUUUAAUGUCGGAAAUUUAAAGAAAUUUAAGAUGUAAUCCUCUUUAAAAUACUUUGAUUCUGAAAAUUUGGGUUCACUCGUAUCAAAACAUUGACACUAAGUUAACCUUUUGGAAAUCCCUAUCUCGAAACGUCAAAUCGUCACAUCCAAUAAGUUAGGACACAGCGCUUUGAAAUUCCAAGACAGUUGCUCGUAUUUUGAAAAUCUUAAAAACUUAGAAGGGUACUUGACUAUUCGAACUCAACGAGAAAAGUCGCAACCCAAUAAAUUAGGGCACUACUUUUCUCGAAGCUUCCAAACACCGAGCAUUGCCUUUUUAUUUUUAUUUUUGAAAAGUUUGAAGUCUCAUUUUUUAAAUCAAUGCAUGAAGGUACAUAUUAAUAUAACAUAUGAGAUAACAUGUUACAAUGAUAGGAAAGUAAGAGCAUAACGGCAUAAAUAUCAUACACUAAUCAACAUAUAUAAGAAAUAAAACAUGACAAUUUUUUAAAUAAGAAAAAUAUACAUAAAACGGAAUACAUAUUAAAGAAGAAAUAGGUAAAAUCCCUAAACAUAUAAUUCAACAUAUAUUUAAUCACAUAAAUGAUGCAUGAUAUACAAUAUAUCAAUGUACAUAAAAAAAUAAUAUGCAUUUGAAAAUAAAAUAUAAAAGUCUAAGAUAUUACAUAACAUAUAACAUAACAAAAAUACAUUAAUACUAAAGUAAAAAUAAAUAUUGUAUAAUAAAAAAAAACAAAAGUUUAAAAAAAUAUAUGUAUAAUACAAACAAAUAAUAAAAUGUGAUAUUUAAUAAUAUAAUAAAAAUAAUUAUAAGAAUAAUAAUUACAUAAAAAAUAUAAAAGAUAUUGGUUUAGUAAAAUAAUGUAAAGAAUAUGAAAUAUGUAAAAGUAUUUAUAUUUAUAAUGAAAUAAUUAUAAUAUAUAAAUAUAAGUUUAAAAUGAAUAAUUAAUAAUGAAAUCUACGUAUUAUACAAAUUAUAAUAUUAUAAUAUCUUCAAAAUGUGUAAUAAUAGAAUAUAAAUAAAAUAAUUAUUAACAUAUAAAUAAAAAAUAAAUAUAUAAUACAAGUUUAAAACCUUUAAUGAUAAUAAUAUAUAGAUAAAAAUGGAUAAUAAUAUAAAAAUGACAUAAUAAUAUAUAAUAUAAUUAUAAUGUAUAAUAUAAAGGUAUAUAUAUAUAAAUAAUAUAUAAUAUAAUUAAUAAAUAUAUAAUAUAAUAAUAUAUAAAUAAUAAUGUAAAAUAAUAAUAAUUUAUGAAAAAUAAUACAUAAUAAAUAAUAAUAUAAAUAAUAUAUAAUAAAAUAAUUCUAUAACAUAAAAAAUAAGGUUAAAAAAAUAAAACAAAUAACAAUGUAAAAUAUAUAUAUAAUAAUAAUGAUAAAUAUAUAGGGUUAGAUUUGAAAUUCAAUAAAAUUACAGGGCAAAUUUAAAAAAAUAACAUUGGAUUAAGGUCCUAAUUGAAACGCGCGAAAAACGAAAGGGACUCAUUGGGAAAAAUACCCUAUUCCCAAAACGUCUGCGCUUUAAUUCUGUGUUUAAAAAAAGGUCAGGGAUCAUAUUGAAAUCAAAAUAAAAAUAAUGGGAAAAAAUUAAAAAUUGCAAUAAACUUAAUUUGACAGAUAAAAAGACGAAAGGACUAAAGGGAAAAUUAUCCCAUUUUCUUAAAACACGCGGACCCUCCGGGUCGGAUCUUGGGCCCUAUAUAAGUUAAAUUUUGAUUUUAAAAUUCAUUUCUAACACCCAUUUUUUUUUUUAAAAAAAAAACAAAAAUCUCUGAAACCCCCUCUCCGUCCUUUGGCCUGAGUUCCAACAACGGCCGAUGACCACCGUUCACGCGCCUCACGCGCCAUCGUACACGGUGGUCGGAGGUUCUAAAUAUCUCCCCUUUCCAGGCAAAUCACAGGUAUAAUUUCUCCUCUUUAUUUUUAAAAGUAUUUUCCUGUAUUACAACUCAAAAAUGAACUGUUUUCUCUUUGCUUUUUUAAAAUCUGUUUCUGGAUCGUUUGUUGUAUUAAAAAUACAUGUAUGUAUAUAAUAAAAAAGAAAGAAAAUAAUAGAGAAUAAAAAUAGUAAAACCUUUGAAUCUGCUGUUUUCGUAUUGAACCUAUGUAUUUUUUAUUGCUUCUUUGUGUGUAUUUUUCAGAACAUAACUUUUACAAGUGAAAUGAAAGGCUUUAUAGCCUUGGUCCCUUACAUAUUCUGGGAAAGAAAUCUAAGAUUUCUUUCCAUUCUAUGUCUUCUGUAUAUUUGAUUGAUAUAUUGUGAUUUUCUUGCCAUUUCUGCUUUGCUUUUUUUCGCGUAUCUUCUGUUUGUUUCCUUUUCUUGCAGGUAUCAUCGAGGAAUCCGACAGUGACCGUGCUGGUGUGGAUUCGCGCGCUGAUCAUGGAGGCAGAGUCAUGGCGCUGAUGGAGGGCAGCUGAAACAACGGGAGUUGAAGAGGCGCAACCCUUAGGCUGAUUGCGGCGCGAACCCUAGCUAGGGUUUCUCUGCUGCUGAAAAUAAGUUAGGCUAAUUGGGCCAAUUAAAUAUUGGGCUAGUUUAGUAUAUCUGGGGUAGGGUAUAACUGGGUAUGGUUUUUGGGUCAAGGGUGUAAACGGGCUUAGCUGAAUUGUUUCGAUUUUGGGCCUACGGUUUGGGCUUUGUAGCAUGAACUGUUUAAAUAAACAAACAUUUAUUUAUUUAUUUUUUGUGUUUCUGUUUUGGUUUUAAGGCUCGGUCAAAUUUGGGCUAUUACAUUAGUUUAAGGCAACAUGAAUAUGACUUAAUAUUUGUACUAACCAAAUAAUUUAAAACACUUGUUAGUCAUGAUUUUGGGGAAACAUGAAAAAAAGUAAUAAUGUUUUUUUCAUAGGUCUUAAAAUUACUCAUAAUAUUUCUUAAUUUUUAAAUCUUGAACUUAUAUUCUUUUAUAUUGAUAAAUAAAGAUACUAACAAAACUGAAACUCAAUUGACACAAUACAUUUUUCUUUUAAUUUAUAAUCCAUACAAUUAAGUUAUAAAUAAAAAUAUAAAAUAUAUUUUAAGGAGCCAAUAUAGAAAAUAUGAGGAGAUUUUUAAAAAGUUUGGGGACCGAGGUCCCUUCUGGCUCCUACUAUGAUUGGCUUCAACUAGAAUAAUAAAAGCAAGUAAAGGUCGGUGUAGUCGGAGCUGGUAUUAGAGGACAUCCUUCUAUAUGUGAGCUUAUAUCACGUAUUUUUUUCUUAAAUCCGAAUCAUUGGUUUGGUCAUAUGAUAUUGAGUUUAACAGUGGAUGUUAUGGCAUAAAAUAGUUAAACAUGCAUCAGAUGAUAUUUGAUGCUAGGAAACAAAGCUAACAUUGUGUUUUGGAGAAGAGGGCAAAUUAAUGGAGGGACUGAGAUGAGGAAAAUUUAGGGCUAAAAAUGAUUGAUCGGCUCAUUUUUUUGUGUCGUGGGGGAACGAAUGGACUGAUGAAUGAAUUAACAUUUCGCUUCGAAAAUGACAAAAGAUAAAAAAGGAAAGUCAUGCAUUGAACCAGAGAAAUUUGACAUAUCGUUCCUGUAUAUAGAGCUAUCAAGUAUACAUGAAGUACGUGCAGAUUCAUUUGCUGUAACCAAGUAGUGUAAGUUGCAAGUUACAAUGCGAAUAGUUAAAAAUAUGGCUAAGCUACAAAAAUAAUAAUCCCACUAUGUCUUUGCUUUUAUUUUCAUCACUAGAUUAUUAAAAUUUUUUAUUUAGUCAUUAAAUUUUUUGAAAUUAAAUAUUUCAAUCAUCUUUCCAUUAGUUGCCAUUAGACAGUGAUAAAAAAUGAUUUAGGCUUUUUUAUUUGUCUAAUAACAAAUUUAGUCCUCUAAUGUUUACACAUUUUAUCAAUUCGAUCCUAAAUAUAAAAAAAUAAAUAAACUUAGCUCUCAAAAUUUACAAAUUUUUUUUAAUUUAAUUCUAAUUCUUUAAAAAAAUUUAUGUACAAACCAUGAAAAGCUUUAGCAAGAAACUUUUCAUUUUCCAAGUUUCAAAUAUCAUAAUGCAACCUCUGCCUUUGUAUUUAGAAUUAAAUUGGCAAAUCUUGUAAAUGUUGAGCUCUAAUUUAUUGAAUUUUUUAGAAUUUGAACUAAAAUGAAAAAUUUUCUAAACAUUAAGAGCUAAAUUUGUUCAAUUUUUUUUUAUAUUUUGAAUCAAAUUGAUGGAAUAUGUAAAUAUUAGAGGGUUAUAUUUAUUAUUAGACCAAUAAAAAAGUCUACAUCAACUUUCCAUCACCCAUCUAACGGCAACUAAUGAGAGAGUGAUUAAAAUAUUUAAAUUUAAAAAUUUUAACGAUUAAAUCAAAAAUAAUAAUAAUUAAGUGACCAAAACAGAACCAAUGGUAUAAUUCAGUGACUAUUUUUUACAAUUUAACCUAAAAAUAUUAAUAUUGUUAAAAAAUUCGUUAAACAGUUUAUGUACAUUUAAAAAAAAACUAAAAUAAUUUUUUUUAUCACAGGCGAAAUUAAGGACCUCAAAAUAGUUAUCUUUCACUAAUUUGACAUGUUGGGAUGUUUAUGUAUUUGUUUUUUAAUUUGUUUAUUUUGUGUCGGUGUUAUGUAAUAAUAUUGUAUCCAACAUUGCCAAGUUUAGAAAGUUCUUAAAUUUGGAUUCACUUGAUUUUAAUAAUUUUUUAACUUAAUUAUAAAAUAUAUAGAUAUCAAUAUAAAAUAAUAUUUUAUUAUUUAAUUUGAUAAUAUGCUUUUGAGUCGAUCAACCCUAGUAAAAAAUAAAUAAAUAAUUAGAGUUUCGGAAUAAUAUAAUUUCAAGAGGGUUUUGAAUUUAACAGUAAUACAUCCAUAGAUGGAAUGAAAACUACUAAAUUUAAUUCAUUAAAGUUAUUGUUUUUCAAGUUUACAAAAUCAAUAAACUUGCAACGUAAUUUUAGAUGAAAUUCUCAGUAUUGCUGGGUUGAAUUAUCUUAUAAUAGAUUGAAGACAUGUCCAUUAACUUUGCAACACACUUUGAAAUGUGUUAAUCUAAAAUAAAAAAAUUUUAAGUUAUGAAUAUACAAACAAAAAUUUCUAAAAGAAUUUAAUACAAGCUUUUGAGUUGAAGGUUUUGAAUCAGUAUUUAAAUCAUAUUGGACAACUUAAGAGCCCACAUUGCAAAUCAAAUUUGGCAUCAAUAAGCCCAAAUAGUAGCCAAACAUAAAAAGGGUUAGUUGCCAUUAUAAAAGUAAGAGAUUUGAUUGAAAUAUAACAUGGAAGGAUGGUUAAACUCAAAAGACUUGAUAGUUGGCCACUUAGGGAAGGUUUUAGACCAUUUAAACACUUAACUUUCAUGUCUUAUUUAUAACAAUCCUUAAUCUCUACUGAUUGUAACACAUCAUUAAAGUGUUUAGAGAGUUUUCACUAUGGGAGUUUUAUUUACAUAUGUAGUAGAUUUCAAAUAAAGAGUAUUUAUUUAUAUUAAACUUUUAAAACUUGGCCUAUAAAUAAGGGGCUUCGGCCAUCCUUUUAAUCAUUGAAUAAAUUUGAGAGUUUUCUUUUUAUUGUAUGCGUGAAGCAUAUUACAAGAGUAUGAUUCUUCUCUUGUUAUCUUUUGGAGUAUUUCUUUACUUUCAAGUCUUUCAUAGUUGUGAGUCUCCAAGUUCUCAAGGCUUGAUCAUCAAUGAUUCGAGGAGUUCUUCUUCUAAGGGUUUCAUAAGGGUUCAAGUCCGAUCAUUGGUGUUUGUUGAAAUAAGCAAUUGUUUGUUGCUUAGAAAAAUAGAGUACUUGAAUGGAAGUGAUGGCUAUGGUGGUCACUAAAGGCGGCACUACGGUGAACACAACUAAAUACUUAAGGCACGUAGAAUUGUUUACAUGUUCAGUUUUCCUACAUCUACAAAGUCUAGCCGGGUGAGUAAAUCUAUAACACUCCUCACCCAUGCCGACAUACGGUAUGAUUGGGAGGUGCUACCAUAACAAAAAUUUUCAUUUAAUAAAUUAUUUGUUUUACAACAUUUAAAGGCUUGUCAAAUCAAAUUAAAAGAUUUUAGAAAGAUUCCAUGUGAUUAAAAACCAUUUCAAGUCUUUGAAAACAUAUAUAGACAUUUCUGAAUAAUAUAACAAGUGACUAAAAUGCUUUGACUCAAAAUUGAGGUUGUCCGGUUGGGAGAAAUAGGAUUUUUGCUAAAGCUUAAAACCUAAAACCAUUUUAUAAAUUUUUUAAUCUAAGUUUUGGGAAAUUAAAAGACUUUAAAAAUAAUUUAAAACCAUUUUGAAGUUGCUUGAGAGUGAUCGGAGGUGUUCGGGACCCAAAACGGACCUUGAAAAGUCAAAAUGACUCAAAACGACAAGUCCCCAGUUGUAUUGAUACACAUCCUAUUACACCCUUUACUCGAUUCGAUCACUAAGUUUGAAUCACAGGAUGCUACAUUCGUUGCUAGAGCAACUAUAGUCAAUCAAACAAUAUAUAAACAUUUAUACAUGUAAACAAGAGUUAAUCACAUUCAAAUUUAUCAUUAACAAUCAAUUCUAAGUCUCAAUCAAGCUUACGAAUGCUCUUUUGUCAAACCAAGCACAAAACAUGACCAAAUUCCAGAGUUUUAAAAGUUCGGGCCCAACAUCAAGACAUCAUCUCUUCCAUAUUGUGACAUCACCAAAAUAGUAUGCCACAUCAUGACUCCAGGCCACUUAACUUCGCGACAUCACUUACUAUCGGUCGAUGUUGGAAUGACGUAAGUUGGCGGUUAGAACAUGAACCCUAUUUUUGCUAAAAAUGAUUCAUUUGAUACCUAUUUCAUAGUUUCCAAUCAAACCAACCAAUAUGCUCACCUAAAAACUGUAACACCCUUCACCCGGUCCAGUCUUGGACCCAAGCUGUAGGAUGCUAAAACUAUUAAUGGAGCAAUAAUAAGCAAAUCGAAAACCAACAAUUCAAUAAAAAAUCAAAUAACUACAUGCAUUCACAAAAAUCAUAGUUUGCAAAACAAAAUUCAAUAACAAUGAAUAUACAAGUUAAACAAGUAAACUUGUAAUGAAUUCAAUUAUAAGAAAAUGUAUAUUAAUGAGCAUUGUCUCAUAAUACAUUUCUUUAGUGCUUUCUUUUGAUUAUCUAACUCGGUUUAUGGCUUGUAUAUAAGCACAUUAGUACGCCUCCAAUGUUUUAUAUUCUAAUCUCAAAUAUCAACAUCUAGAUUCAAAUCAUAAAAUCAUUUCUAUUUUAAUCUCAUUCUCUAGCAUAUGGCACUUUCAUAUUAGCAUUUAUGUCUCAAAUUCAUCGAUUGAGUAAUUCAACUCUUUUCAUAGAAUCAUUGCCCCCUAAGGGUCUUAAUACUUAAUACGUAUGAUCUUUCACAUGCUAACAAUAAUCUCAUGUAAAUUACCUUUCAACUAACCAAUUCAACCAUAUAAAAUUUAUUAUUUGGCCUCUAUUAACCGGACGCAAACUAAAGGACGGAUACACAGUUUAUCCGUCAUUACACCAAUGUACCCUUACGAACACCCAAUGCUUAGGAACUAGAGAUAUGUUCCCAAGGACACCUAGAGCUCAAGGGAAAAUGAUUGAAUAGAAAUGCACUUAGUGUUAAGCAAUACGUUCUCAUGGAAACCUGGUGCUCUAGAGAAUUACCGAAAUGAUAUGCCCCAGAGCUAAUAAUGACUCUAAUAUAACGAAUCCUAUGGCAUGCUAGCUAUACAUGUAACUCUAUCCGAGACCAUUUAAUAGGGCAUUCAUAGAACCAAUAUACAUGCUUUCACAUAUCAUUUAUUCUUUGAAUCACAUUUUCAUAUAGCAUUCAUAUCAAUUGUCAAUUUCUCAUGAUUUUUCAUCAUAUCAGCACAUGAAUUCAUACACAUACAUAUUCACAACAUUUCAACAAGUCAUCAAGUCACUAAAUGUACUUACCAUUCAUGAGAUAGAGCAUUAUUAUUACCUUAUUCAAUUUACUACUUAAUAGGCUAUAAAUUGAAAUCAAUUUACCAAAUGAUGAACGACUGGUUGGAAAUGGUUAAUGAUUUUGGAUGUAUAUGUGGAUGAUUCGGCUAUGGUUUAUGCAUAGAUAAAAGUAUAUGUGAAUUUGGUUGUUAUGUUUGAUUAAGGUGUUAUUAUGUGAAUUGGCAUUAAAUGAUAUUUGGUUAUGUUCGAACAUGGUAGGAAUAUAUUUUGAUAUGCUUAUUAGAUGGUAUGUAAGAUUUGUGUUUUGGGUAUAUAUCUAUAUUUGGUUAAUGACAUGAAUAUUAUAAAUAGCUUUAAGUAAUCUUGUUAAAUGGAAAAUGGAUGUUUUUGAGUUGUGGUUUGUAAAUGAUGUCAUUUAUAGUGUCAAUUCGGCUAUGCUUUAGAUUAUAUUGAAAAUAUGUAUUCAUGGAAUAUCGUUUAAUACAUGAUUAUACGGUUAAACCUAGUUAAAAUAUCGUUGUAUGCUUAAAACAUAUUUACCAUGAAUUUGCUAUUUAAGUUCAGUCAUGAAUGGCAAUAAGUGAACAAUAUUUGUUUGUUAAUGAGUAUGUAAUUUUAGGUAUAUUAAUUAACAUAAGUAAUGAGUGUACUUUUUGGUGGCAUUUGUACUUAAAAUGGUUUAAUUUAGUAUGGUCAUAUGCGUAUGAUUUAAUGACUAAAAAAAUAGGUAAGUUUAGUCUUUAAUGAUUAGUGUUUUAAAUGAAGUAUAUGAAAAUGUAUGAUUAAUGUCGUAUGGAUGUUUAAAUUUACAUUAAUGUGCAAAGCAUGUAAGUUCAAUUGACUAUUACUAAUGUCGCAUAUGUAAGUGGUUUUUAAGUUGUGUAAUAUUGCUUAUUUAGUUUUGAGAAUGUGUAUUUAUAUUUGUUAAGGAAAUGUCAUAUUUGACAGUCGGAAAAAGAAGUAGACAUAUUGGCAUACAUUUGAUAAAUAACUGUAAUGUUACAUAUUGAAAUGAUAUGUGAUUUGGUGGCUAUACACAUAAUUACAUAGAUAGUAUUGAAAGUAUGUUUGACUAUGUUGAUAAUAAUUAAUGCUGUAUAUAUUAAUGUAUAAUAUGCAGUAAGUAAUACGUUGAAAUUUGUUAUGUUUUGUGUAUACAAUGUGCAAAUCAAUGUAUGUUCUGAAAUGUAAAUUAAUUAUAUGCUCUUUAUAAAUGAGUUUGACUUGUGUGAAUAUAUGAAUGUUUAGAAUUGCGCUUUUGUUCGAUAAUGCCUCGUAACCCUAAUCCAGCGACGGAUACGGGUUAGAAGUGUUACAUUUGAUUGGUAUCAGAGCUACGGUUUAGUCGAUUCUAGGACUAACAUAGCGCGUGUAAGUCUAGCUAUACAUGCCAUAUUAUAUACUACGAUAGUGUGAUGACUUCUGACAUUUGAAAAUGUGUUUUCGUAUAGUAAAUGGAUCCCGAUAAAGCCGUAGCUGAUGAUGUUGAGAGUAUAGCACCUGCUCCCACGCAAGGGACAGCGCCGGUUGAUUCUCAAUCGACUUCGAGUAACUAAGAGGGAAAGGCAAAACAAGUCUUUUACCAAAUGAUGAACGACUGGUUUACUUAGUAUAUCCGGACUAACAAGGCUACACAACAACCUCCACCCCAGACUAAUCCUUUUCCAAUACCUGUUAUAUCUCAAGUGAGUGAUCCAUUGAGAUCAUAUAAGCCUCCUGUUGAUAAAAUCAGAAAACACUUGGCUGAAAAAUUCAGAGCUACUGAUGAUGAUGAUGCUAAGCGAGCUGAAUUCUGGCUUAAUAAUACUAUUCGUGUGCUUGAUGAGCUAUCCUGUACUCUAGAUGAAUGUUUGAAAUGUGCCAUAUCUUUGCUACGAGACACCGCAUAUCACUGGUGGAAUACACUAGUAUUGGUGGUUCCUAAAGAACGAGUGACCUAGGACUUCUUUCAAACUAAGUUCUGUAAGAAAUAUAUCAGCCAAAGAUUUAUCGACCAGAAACACAGAAUUUCUAGAGUUGAAACAGGGUCAGAUGACCGUGACAGAAUAUGAACGAAAAUUUGUAAGACUCAGUAGCUAUGCCCAUGAGUGUGUUUCGACUGAAGCUAUCAUGUGUAAAAGAUUCGAAUACGGGUUGAACGAAGGCAUUAAACUGUUAGUUGCCAUACUUGAAAUAAAAGAGUUCGUAGUACUGGUUGAGCGAGCGUGCAAAGCCGAAGAGCUCGAGAAAAAGAAAAGAAAAGCUGACUUUGAAGCUAGAGAUUUGCUUAAAAAAUCGUCGGGUAAAACUUUUCAGUCGACAUUAAAGAGAUUCUAGGAUGAUUCUAGCCGUUCAAAGGCUAUAUUGCGAGUUAUACUAGACGUGAUUGAGAUAGACCACCUGUGAGCUCGAGAGCUACCUCAGUAGCUAGUGUUGGUAAUGUUAGAUCAAAUCAACCCGAGUGUAAACAUUGUGGUAAAUAACAUCCCAACAGUUGUAGAUUGCAUGAUCGGGGCUGUUUUAAAUGUGGAUCGAUGGAUCAUUUCAUUCGUGAAUGCCUUGAGUUAGCUGGACAAAAUCCAGUACAGAAUACGAGACCAACUAACAUGUCAGCUCGAGGUAGACCGCCCAGAAAUGCGAGUAAUGUGAGUAGCAGUCAGAGAGGAACUAAAGACACAGCAGUUCAAUCCGAGGCUUGCGCACCUGCCAGAGCUUAUGCCAUACGUACUCGCGGGGAGGCUUCAUCCUCAGAUGUUAUUACUAGUACAUUCACUCUCUAUGAUAUUAGUGUAAUUGCAUUGAUUGAUCCUGGUUCGACUCAUUUUUAUGUGUGUGAGACUUUAGUAUUCAGUAAGACUUUGUCUGUUGAGUCUACUGAAUUUGUGAUUAGAGUAUCGAACCCCUUGGGCCGAUGUGUUAUGGUUGAUAAAGUGUGUAAGAAUUACCCUUUGAUGAUUCGAGAUUCAUGUUUUUUAGUUGAUUUGAUGUUGUUGCCAUUCGACAAGUUCGAUAUAAUUCUGGGUAUGAACUGGUUGCACGAUACUAUCGUAAAUUGUAAAAGAAAAACUAUUGACUUACUAUGCCAGAAUGAUGAGAUUAUUCAGAUUGAAUCUAAUGAUCUGAAUGGUUUACUAGAAGUGAUAACUUUGAUGCUAGCUCAAAAGUAUGUGAGAAAGGUUUGUGAAGCUUACUUUGCGUAUGUGCUUGAUAGUAAAGUGGCUGAAAGAAAGAUUGAAUCAGUACUAGUUGUGUGCGAGUAUCCGAAUGUGUUUCCUGAAGAAUUGUUGGGUUUGCCACCUAUCCGAGAAGUAGAGUUUGGUAUUGAGUUAGUACUGGGGAUGACUCCAAUAUUGAUAGCUCCGUACAGAAUGGAACCUACUAAAUUAAAAGAAUUGAAAGCUCAGUUGCAAGAGUUGACAGAUAGAGGUUUCACGUGACCAAGUUUUUCUCCCUAGGGUGCACUAGUUUUAUUUGUGAAAAAGAAAGACGGAACUAUGUGAAUGUGUAUCGACUAUAGACAGCUUAAUAAGGUGACUAUAAAGAAUAAAUAUUCAUUGCCACGAAUUGACGACCUGUUUGAUCAGCUAAAAGGGGCUAUAGUAUUUUCAAAGAUAGAUUUGAGAUCAGGCUAAUAUCAGUUACGAGUUAAAGACUUCAAUGUUGUGACACCCCUAAUGUGACCCUAGUCGGAAAGUGGUUUCGGGACCACAAAACCGAGUCAUAAAAAUAAUUAACCGUCAUAUUUGAUGCUUAUUAUAUAUAUAUAUGCAUGUGUGAAAAUUUCAUGUUUGGAUUUUGUUAAUUGUAAGUGAAUUUUAUUAAAUAGGACUUGUGUGAGAAAAUUUAGAAAUGUGCUAGGCAAAUGUUAAAGUGGCCUAUUGAUGCAUGUUAGAAAAUGCUUGUCCUUGCAUGUCAAAUUACCCAAAACUUUAGGUAAUGGCCGGCCAUGCUAUGGGUUAAAGCAUAUUAUAAACAUUUUGUGUUAAUGUUUUAUGUUAGAAAUAAUAAAAUAAAAGGUUAGUAAUAAAGUAAUGAAAAGGGAGGGGUGAUGAAAACAAAGUUGUCUCAUCCAUGCUUCCCCAUUGCCGUGACUUGAGGAAGGAAGAAGAAAAGGAUUCUCUUGCUUCAUGUUCGGUUGGUUGAUGUUUAGGAAGAGGUAUGUUUGAUGUUAUUCCAUGAAAUUCAUGCAUAUUUCUAGAUGUUGGUUUAAAUUCUUUUGCUAUUUGAUGGAGAUGAUACUCGGCCAUGGGUGUUGUCUUCUUGGUUGGUGUUUGAUGUUGUGGUGAUGAGGCAUGAAGAUGAUUGAGUUUGAGUGCUUAAUAAAAAGGAUGGGUCUUAACAACUUCAUGAAGUAUUCGGCCAUGGUGCUAAAAUGUUGUAUUGUGUUUAAACUUAGAAUUUUUAGUUAUAUGGAUGUGUUAAGUUGCUUGAAAUGUUAGAUUAAUUUGAACUCAUCACCAAGUUCUUUAGGCAACCCAUGUUAAAAAUUUCGGUAUUGAGAUGCCUAGAACUUUUGGCCAUAGUAACUAUGGAGAAAUAAGGUUUUUGUUUCUUGUUAAAUUGGAUGUAUCUUGUUGUAUGAGUGCUUGAACAAACUAUGAUUAAAUAGAUGCAUAGAUUCAAGGUGGGAAGAAUUGGCUAUUAUGCUUGAUACUAAUGCCGAAUAUGAGAAUGUUGUACUUGAAAAAUGUAGGUGAACAUGACAAGUGUAUUCGGCUUAGGGCAUAAAGGAUAUGAAAAUUUGGUAUUUAUUUUUGAUUGUGUGUGUAUGACCAUGGAUAAUUGGCUGCACAGAUAUUAUAAAUACAUAAUGUAUGUUGAAUUUAUUAAGCUACAAAACAUUAUACAUGAUCGGCCAAGGUAAAUUAUUUGAGUAAAGUAUAUCUUGAUGGUACAUUUCGGCUAGUAUAAAAUGUAUAUGGAUGUCGUAUGACUAUGUUUAAUUUGGGAAGUAAAUUGUUUGAUUUAGCUCAAGAGCCUAGAGGAUCAAAGUUGGAUAAGGGAAAGGAAAAAGUGAUCGAAUAACCGUCGUAAUCGUUCGGCAACUUCCGAGGUAAGUUUUAAGUGAUUAAAAGUUGAGUAAAUUCAAUCAUAAUAGGACAUAAUGAGUUGAUUUAAUAAGAUAUGAUGUGGCCAUGAUAUGUCUUAAACUCAAAUGGUAAGUUCAUAAGUGUUUGGACUUGGAAAUUUAAGAGCAAAUUGUAAUAAUUUGCUUAGGACAGCAGCAGUAACGUGAUUUUAGAAAUCACUAUAAAUUGUUGGUGUGGAAUUAUAGGCUGAAUAAAAUAUGUAUUCAAAGCUUAAUUAGUCUAGUUUCUUAUAAAAGAGACCGUGUAAGCAAAGAAAUUUCCUAUAAAGAGAUAUUUAAAGUUGUGUGAGACAGUGUCAGAAUGACUCUGAAAUCCCCUGUUCUGUUUUUAGAAAAUCAUUAUAAUUUGUACAAAAAUGGUUAUAAGAUAAAAUUUAUAUGCUUAGACUCCUUAAUGAGUCUAGUUUCAAAUGAAAUCAAAUAGAACAUAUUUUUAAUUCUGUACAAUGAGAAAUUUGAUUCGUAGUGAAGAGUGGUCAGAUUAGUCAAACAGUGAAACAGGGGAAACUUUAAGAAAAAUCUGGUAUUGAUUGGCCAAACCUAAAAUUAUGAAAAUUUUAUGGAUGGAAGAUAUAUGAGUCUAUAUUCAGGGAAAAUUAACGGAAAUUGAUUUUGAGUUUUUUAGCUCCAGUUAUAAAUAAUUUAGUGACUAUUGCUCAGGGAAAACAGCUUGUAGUGAAUAUGUGAAUUUGUUGUAAACAUUGAUGAAACUAUUUGAGUUGCUUAUAAGCUAUUGCAGAAAUUGAUGUACAAGAUAAAUAUAUAUGUGUGUGGUAAAGCCGAAUGGCUAGUGUGAAAUAUGUAUGAGAUAUGUAUAUGUGGUAAAGCCGAAUGGCUAAUGUGAAAUAUAUAUGAGAUAUGUAUAUGUGGUAAAGCCGAAUGGCUAAUGUGAAAUAUCUAUGAGAGAUAUGUAUAUGUGGUAAGGCCGAAUGGCUAGUGUGAAAUAUGUAUGAGAUAUGUAUAUGUGGUAAAGCCGAAUGGCUAGUGUGAAAUAUAUAUGAGAUAUGUAUAUGUGGUAAAGCCGAAUGGCUAAUGUGAAAUAUAUAUGAGAUAUGUAUAUGUGGUAAAGCCGAAUAAAUAUAUAUGAGAUAUGUAUAUGUGGUAAAGCCGAAUGGCUAGUGUGAAAUAUGUAUGAGAUAUGUAUAUGUGGUAAAUCCGAAUGGCUAGUGUGAAAUAUAUAUGAGAUAUGUUUAUGUGGUAAAGCCGAAUGGCUAAUGUGAAAUAUGUAUGAGAUAUGUAUAUGUGGUAAAGCCGAAUGGCUAAUGUGAAAUAUGUAUGAGAUAUGUAUAUGUGGUAAAGCCGAAUGGCUAGUGUGAAAUAUUAUGAGAUAUGUAUAUGUGGUAAAGCCGAAUGGCUAAUGUGAAAUAUAUAUGAGAUAUGUAUAUGUGGUAAAGCCGAAUGGCUAGUAUGAGAUAUGUAUAGCCGAAUGGCUAGCAUGAAAUAUAUAUGAGAUAUGUAUAUGUGGUAAAGCCGAAUGGCUAGCGUUUAAUAUAUAUGAGAUAUGUAUAUGUGGUAAAGCCGAAUGGCUAGCGUGAAAUAUGUAUGAGAUAUGUAUAUGUGGUAAAGCCGAAUGGCUAAUGUGAAAUAUAUAUGAGAUAUGUAUAUGUGGUAAAGCCGAAUGGCUAGUGUGAAAUAUGUAUGAGAUAUGAAUAUGUGGUAAAGCCGAAUGGCUAGCGUGAAAUAUGUAUGAGAUAUGUAUAUGUGGUAAAGCCGAAUGGCUAGUGUGAAAUAUGUAGGAGAUGUGUGUAUAUUGUGGCCGAAUGACCAAAUGUGAAAGGUGUGUAUUAUUAGAUAUUUGAUGAGGCAAAUGAAUUACAAAUAUGACAGUCGAUGUGAAUGUUGUAACAUGUGAUUAAAUGUACAUGAAACUUGGAAAUAUAUUCCGGGUAAGACCCGAUGACUACGUGUGGAGAUUUUGUCCGGGUAAGACCCGAUAACUACGUGUGGGGACUAUUCGAGCUAAAGGUUUCGCUGAAGAUUCGAGUAAAGUUGGUAAUAAAUACGUUCAAUGCGUUAAGUUGGUCAGGUAUGUAUUUUGAGAUUAUAUUUAAGCUUGAUUUGGACUAAAUUACAAGGUCGUUAUGUGAUGCAUAUGUGAGUAAAGCAAUAAGACUGUUCUAUGAUUAUUGUGCGUUUGGUCAAUGUGGAAAGUUAGGUGAGAAUAUAUAAUGUACCUAUGUUUAUAAGAGAUCACUAUCAAGUGAGAAUUUAUCUGCCUAUUAUAUAUGAUGAGAUGUGCAUAUUCGGUAAAGGGAUGGUAUGCCCGAAGGAAGAGUGAAAUAAAAAUACGAACAACUAUGUUAUAAUUUGAUUGUUAUCUGUUGACAUUGCUUAAAACUUACUAAGCAUUGUAAUGCUUACUCCGUUUACUUUGUUUCCUCUGUUUUAUAGAUCUCAUUUGGAAGCUACAGGCUCGGGGAUCGUCAGCAACUAGUCACACUAUCACUAUCCACUGCUUGUUACUGUUAUGUUUUGAAUUAUUUUAUGGCAUGUAAAGAAUAGACCAGUGGCCGAAGAAUAUUUUGGUUAAUGUAUAUAAGCCAUGCGAAAAUGGCAUCUUUUGAAUGUGUACUUAUAGAAGUUAAAUUGUAUCCCUGACGGUCUUUAGUAUUUACCUAAAGGAACGUUCUUUAUAAAAAAAAAUAUUCAAAAUUUUUACUGUUCGGAUAUGAGUUUCAAGUCUAGUAAUUCCCCUUUACCUAUUCCGGCGACGGAUACGGGAUAGGGGUGUUACAAAUGUGCCAAUGAUUGCUUUCUGAACGAGGUACAGACAUUAUGAGUUUUUGGUUAUGCCUUUCGAACUUACUAAUCCACCUGCUGUUUUUAUGGAUUUGAUGAACCAGAUCUUCAAACAGUAUCUGGAUCGAUUUGUGGUUGUGUUCAUUGAUGACAUUUUGAUCUGUUCCCGUGAUGAAACCGAACAUGCCAAACAUCUGAGACUUUUGUUAUAGACCUUGCGAGAUAAACAAUUGUAUGCGAAGUACAGUAAAUGUGAGUUUUGGUUACAUGAAGUCAGUUUUCUAGGACAUGUUGUAUCAGCAUCAGGUAUUCGGGCUGAUCCGAGUAAAAUUUUAGCUAUACUUUAUUAGAAACCUCCGAGAAAUGUUUCUGAAGUCUGAAGUUUUUUAGGACUUGCUGGUUACUAUAGACGGUUCGUGAGGUUUCUCUAUGAUUGAAACCCUGAUGACGAAGUUACUACAGAAAGAUGUUAAACUCAAGUGGUCAGAAAAGUGCCAAAAAAGUUUUGAUCAGUUGAAAGCCCUUUUGACCGAAGCUCUAGUGUUAGUUCAGCCAGAAUCAGGUAAAGAAUUCGUUAUCUAUAGUGAUGCAUCUUUAAAUGGUUUGGAUUGUGUUUUGAUACAGGAAGGCAAAGUCAUAUCUUAUGCCUCAAGACAGUUAAAGCCGCAUGAAAAGAAUUAACCAACACAUAAUCUAGAAUUGGCAGCUAUUGUGUUUGCAUUGAAAAUAUGGCGCCACUAUCUAUUCGGUGAGAAAUGUCAUGUUUAUUCUGAUCACAAAAGCCUAAAAUAUUUGAUGACUAAGAAAGAUCUGAAUUUGAGACAAGGACGAUGGUUAGAGUUGUUAAAAAACUACGAGCUUGUGAUUAAUUAUCACCCGGGAAAGACUAAUGUUGUUGCCGAUGCUUUAAGCUGAAAAUCACUAUUUUCUUUGCGUGCAAUGAAUGUGCAUAUGGCUAUGUCUGAUGAUGGUUCGAUAAUAGCUGAAUUAAAAGUAAGACCGUUAUUUAUUUAACAAAUUUGUGAUGCUCAGAAAGUUGAUAAUGAUUUGUUAGGAAAACGGGUCCAAUAUGAUUUGAAUGUUGAUUCAGAGUUUCAAGUUGAUGCUGAAGGUUGUAUGAGGUUCAGAAACUGAAUAUGUGUUCCAAGAAAUCUAGAGUUAAUUUGGAUGAUUUUGAACGAAGCUCACAGCAAUCGGUUAUCUAUUCACCCAGGUAGUACAAAAAUGUAUAAUGAUCUGAAAUAGCUUUACUGGUGGCAUGGUAUGAAAUGAAACAUUUCUGACUUUGUUUCGAAAUGUUUAGCCUGUCAGCAAGUAAAAGCUGAGCAUUAGGUACCUUCUGGAUUGCUUCAACCGAUCAUGAUACUUGAGUGGAAAUGGGAUAGAGUCACGAUGGAUUUUGCAUCUGGUUUACCGUUGACACCGAGCAAGAAAGAUGCAAUCUGGGUUAUUGUGGAUAGAUUGACUAAAUCGGCUCAUUUUGUUCUGAUUCGUACAGAUUACUCGCUUGAUAAGCUAGCUGAAUUGUAUGUUUCUCAGAUUGUGAGAUUACAUGGUGUAAUUAUUUCUAUUGGUUCGGAUAGAGAUCCGAGGUUUACAUCGUGAUUUUAGAAGAAACUACAAGAUGCUCUAGGUACGAAAUUACAUUUCAGCACUGCUUUCCAUCCACAAACAGAUGGUCAGUUCGAAAAAAUCGUUUAGAUACUUGAGGAUAUGUUGAGAUGUUGCAUUCUCGAGUUCGAAGGUACUUGGGAACGAUACUUACCUCUGAUUGAAUUUGCGUACAAUAAUACCUUUCAAUCGAGUAUCAAAAUGGCACCUUACGAGGCUUUGUAUGGGCAUAAAUUUAGUACACCAUUGUAUUGGAUUGAGCUCAGUGAAAACAAGGUACACGGGGUCGAUUUGAUUAGAGAGACUGAGCAAAAAGUAAAAGUGAUCCAUGAAAGUCUAAAAACAGCGUCAGAUCAUCAGAAAUCAUAUGCGGACUUGAAACGAAAAGAUAUAGAGUUUCAAAUCGGGAACAAAGUAUUUUUGAAAGUCUCACCGUGGAAGAAAAUACUCAGAUUUGGUCGUAAUGGCAAAUUAAGUUCGAGAUUUAUUCGCCGUAUGAGAUUAUAGAGCGUAUCGGGUCAGUUGCUUAUAGACUAUUGUUGCCACCUGAGUUAGAAAAGAUCCAUAAUGUAUUCCAUGUUUUGAUGCUUCGUAGAUAUCAAUCUGAUCCCUCACAUGUGAUUAAUCCGUCAGAGAUUGAGAUUAAGUCUGAUAUGACAUAUGAGGAAGAACCGAUUUGUAUACUGCCUUGCGAAGUUAGAGAAUUACGAAAUAAGAAAAUUUCGUUAGUGAAAGUACUGUGGCAAAAACACGGAGUUGAGGAAGCAACGUAGGAGCUAGAGGAUGCAAUGAAAGAACGUUAUCCGAACCUAUUCACCGGUAAAAUUUUCAAGGACGAAAAUCCCUAAGAGGGAGAGUUGUAACAACCCGAUUUAGACCUUAUUUGAAAUGGUGGUUUUGGGACCGCGAAUGUGAGUCAAAAAAUAUUUUAAAAUUAUUUUCUGUGUUUAUUAUGUGUGAGUUUAUAUGUGUGAAAUUUUCGUGAUUUAAUUUUGUCGUUUGAGUGCCCGAUUAAAUAAAAAAGCUUAAUUGCGUAAAAUGAAAAUUUGAUGGUUAAUUGUAAAAGGGUUGAAUUGAUGUUUUCUUUCUUACAUGAGGUAUUUAUGUUGCAAUUUGACCAUAUGAAUUAGUCAUGGACGGUUAUGACCUUAUUAUAUAAUGGUUUUAUAUUAAUUGUUAAAGGUUAAAAUUGUAAAAUGUGUAAUAAUAUAUGUAAUAAUAAAACAUAAAAAUUAAAAUAAGCUUUCAUAAUACUUUGUUCUUGCUGAAACAUAAAAGAAAAGAAAAGAAAUAAGAGUUCAAGGGUUCAGCCUUUUGAUAGCUUAAUCAAGGUAUGUAACUAGCUCGGUUUUUGAUAAUGUUUACGUCUUUGAGAUUGUUGCAAUGUAAUGUACAAAGCCCAUGCUUGAAUUUUUUAUUUUGAUGAAUAUUUUGAGUUAUGCCAUUGAUAAAUAUUUGAGUAUUGUGAUGUUAGUUGAUGAAUUAUGAAAUAUAUGUUUUGGAUUGAUAUGUUUUGUAUUGGAAUUUUUGAUGAUUUUGAGUAAUUAGGGCUUAAUUGCAAAAAUGAUAGUUUGAGGGACUACUGUAAUAUCCCGAAUUAGGGCCUAAUCAGAAUAGUGGUUUUGUGACCAUAAAUCCGAGAUAGAAAUAAUUAUUUUAUAAUUAUUUUUAGGUUUAUGAUAUGAUUGCAUGAUUGUGUGAAAAUUUCGUGAUGAAAUUCUAUGCCUAAAGUGCUUAAAUUGAAAGUAGGGACUAAAUCGAAUAAGUUGCAAAACUUGCAUUCUAGAAGUUUUUAGUAUGAAAUUGUUUUGGAAUAUUAAUGAGGAGGUCUUAAAUAGCAAUUUGACCAAUUUUAAGUUCAUGGACAAAAUUAGGACAUGGAAGGAAUUUUUGGAAAGUUUAGUAGUAAGGGUAUUUUGGUCAUUUAGUUAUUAAAAUGAAUUAAAAACAAAAUUAAAAGCCAAUUUUUGUCCAUCUUCUUCAUUAGGCCGAAAUUUCAAGGGUUCUCCAUAGCUAGGGUUUGUUUCAAGCUUCCAAGCUCCAUAGUAAGUGAUUCCAAGCCCCGUUUUUAAUGAUUUUUACGAUUUUGAGAUCUCGAUAAAGCUUAUGUUAGCAAUAAUUUAACCUAGGGUUUAUAUUUGGAAAAAUACCCAUAGGUGAAAUUUGUGUAUUUUGAUGUUUUAUGAUAGAAUAUGAAGUUUUAAAUUAUGUUAGACAACUUGUACUACUCGAUUUUAAGCAAAAACGAGUAAAAGGGCUUAAUCGGUAAAAAUACCUAAUAGUCACAAGUACAUGUUAGAGUGAGAAUUUGAUGUUGCCAUAGAAGAGAAAAGUGAUCAGCUUGUUGUAAAACAUAAGAAUAAGGAAUAAAUUUUAAUCCCGAGCCUAGGGGCAAAAAUGUAAAUAUGCAAAAGUUUAGGGGUAAAAUUGUAAUUUUGCCAAAAUUUGAGUUAAGGAUUAAUUUGAUAAUGUGAGUAUUAAAUAAGCUAAAUGUGUUAUUUUAGAUCAAGAAAGACGUGGAAUCGACCUCAAUCGAGGAAAAGAAAAGAUUGUGGACUAAAUUGCAAAAUCUUUGUAUUUUGGUACCAAGGUAAGUUCAUGUGUAAAUAAUGUAUCAUAAUGGUUAUUUUUAAGUUAUUGAUGUUAAUUAUAUGUUAUGCUGAAUUUUAUUAUGAAAUGUAUGAUUUGUGGUUAAUUUCAAAUAAUAUGUAAAUUAUGUGAACUACUUGUUAAAUAUAAUUGUUACCGAGUAUUGAUUUCGGCAUUCUACGGAAGACGGCAAGGAUAAGUGUUCGAGGAAAAAUCCCGUUUGAACCUUAGGAAUAGAUUAGGAUACAAGUGACAUGUCACUAGGAUGAUUGAGCAUCCGAACUCGUUGAGUUGAGUCCGAGUUCACUUAUGGAUGCGAAUGUCCGAACUCGUUGAGUUGAGUCCGAGUUCGUGAGAUGUAACUAGGCAUCCGAACUCGUUGAGUUGAGUCCGAGUUCACUUAUGGAUGCGAACACCCGAGCUCGUUGAGUUGAGUCCGAGUUCGCUUAUGGGCGGGUUACAUGAUUGCUUGAUUGCAUAUAUGGCACUUAUGUGCAAGUUAUCCAUGUAUCCGAAUUAUAUUCCGAUGUGUUCAACGGGUAAAGUUCUACUCAAUGGAGGAAUAUUCGAGAUGUAAAGAGAAGUAUUGGUGAGUGAUAUGAAAUGGUUAUUUUGGACAAGUAUGUAUUUAACCCUCGGGUUGAGUAUUGAUACAACCACGAUAAGGUAAUAAGAUGAUGAAAAAUGAUUAAAAAUGUGAUAUGUGUUUUAGUGAUACAUGCUAAUGUUGAUUGGUAUGACUGUUUGUUAUGUUACUUAUUAUUUGCAUAUGAACUUACUAAGCAUUUAUGCUUACUCCCUCCUUCUUACUCAUUGUAGUUUUGGACAAGCCAGCUCAGGAGCCGGGAUAGGUCGAAGGCUCAGUCACACUAUCCGGAAGACUUUUGGUAAUGGCUUGUAAAUUUAAGUAUGGCAUGUAUAGCAAUAUAUUUUUUUGUGUAAAUGAUCUUAUGGUAUGGUGAUGGAAUGGUUGAGGAAAUGCUUGAUAAUGAUAAAUUAUGAAAAUAUUUAGUUUAGAUUAUAUUUGAUGUUAAGGAAAAUUAUUAAGAUACUUAGUGCAUAAAAACUCAUAAAAGGGAUGAAAUUUGCCAUAAACAGAAUACUACAGCAACACUGACGCGAGUUUAAAAAUUUACUAAAAAUCAUAAAAAUUGAAAUUGUUGAUGGAAUACAUAUCAAAUUGAAGCUUAUUAUGUCUAGUUUCACAUGAAACAAAUGAAACAGAUAAAGGAAUUAUAUGUUACAAGAUAUUUGAAUUUUAGUGAAACAGGGUUAUAGCAGUUUCUGAAUCCCCUGUUCCAACUUUAGAAAUUCACCAUAAAUUGUAAAGAUAUAAUUAGGUAGUGUAUUUUAUAUUCUCAGAAUCCUUAUUGAGUCUCGUUUCAUUAGAAACAAACCUCAUUGUCAUAUGGAUUUUUUACAGAGAGAAAUGUGGUUCGUAGUAAAUAGAGGUCAGACCAGUCAAGUCCUGAAACAGGGGUAACUUUAACUAAUAAACUAUACUAAUUGGCCCAACCAAAAAUUCUAGAAAACAAUUAGUAGAUAGGUAUAUGAGUCUAGAUUUAGGGAAAAUUUACGGAUCUUUAUUUCGAGUUUCGUAACUCGAGAUAUGAUUUUUCUUGUGACUAUGAUGCAAGUAGCUUAAAAGCUGUGAAUGUAGAAAUAAAUAAUCCAAAGUUCUAAAUAUGUUAAAUUAAGCUUAGUAACACCUCAUACUCGACUCCGGCGACGGUCUCGGGCGUGGGGGCGUUACAACUACAAUGUGAAAUAAAUGAAAUUUAUGACCUUGUAAAAACAUAAUUAAGAUUCGGCCUAAGCAUGGUGUACUCAAAUUUUGCAUGUUUUGUGUUUUGUGCAAUAGGGACUAAAUUGUAAAAAGUGUGAAAUGUCAGGGGUAAAAUGGUAAUUUGCCUAUUUAUGUGUUUUUGGACUACAUUGAGUGAAAAUAUAUUUUAAUAAGUUUAAUUUGAAUAUGUUUAGAUCAAGAACCAAAAAAAUCGGAUUUGGAUCGAGGAAAAACCAAAGUUCUCGAUUAGCCGUCCCGUUCCAAUUAUCGUUGUCCGAGGUAGGUUUCUAAGCAAAUAAAUGCUGUAAAUUUUGAAUAUAUGUGAAUGUAAAAUGUUGAUUUAAAUUUUAUGAGUUUGUAUAUAUGAUAGCCGAAAGUGUAUAUACUUGGGAACUAUGUUUACGAGUUCGAUUUGACCGAGUUACGACGUCCGAAAGCCCUGUACGAACCUUAAGAAUAGUUAGGAUACAUAUGUCAUGACGUAGGAUUUUCGAUAUGUGUUCUCGUGUAAGACCACGUCUGGGAUGUUGGCAUUGAUAUAUGUGGUUACGUGUAAGACCAUGUCUUGGACAUCGGCAUCGUAUUUUAUUCGUGUAAGACCUUGUCUGGGACAAUGGCAUCGAUAUGAGAUUGCAUGUAAGGCCACGUCUAGGACAUUGGCAUUGUACGAUAUAUGUGAUUAUCUGAGUAUCCUAUUCAAUUCUGAAUGGUUCAAUAGGUAAUGAUAAGUUGUGAUCGAAAGUGUAAAACGAGCUAAAUCGAUCAGGUAUGAGUUAGUUGGUUACUUAUUUGAAAAUAAGGUAAGUUGGUUAUUUGAUAUGUGAUUCAAAUUAUACAAGUUACUAAUGUAAACAUAUAUACAUUUGUGUAGUAUAUUCGGCUAUAUUCUAUGAAUAUGUAUGUGAUGAUAUCUUUUGAUUCAUGAGUAUAUGUAUAUGAGUGUAAAUGUACUUGGUUAUAUAAUAACAUUUUGGCUUUGAAAUUGAAAGAUACUUUGUUAAUAUAUAUAUGUACACUCGGCCAUGAAUAAAUUUAUAUGUGAAAGUAUAUGUUUUACAUGAAAUUGUAAGCUUGAGAUUUAAUGUAAUUAUGAUAGUAUAAUUUUGUUUGGUUUAAAUGAGUUGAUUAUGUCAUUGAGUUGUUUAUUUGCUUAUGACUUACUAAUCUUUGAUAGCUUACUGUGUGUGUUUAUAUUUGCCUCUGUUUUAUAGAUUUUGGAGAUUAGUUACGAGCUCGGGGAUCGUCAGCAAAGUCUAUCACACUAUCGACUGUUUUUGGUAUUUUAUAAGUUUAAACUUGAACCUAUGGCAUGUAUAAGCUAGAUUAUAUUUGGUCAAGUUUAAAGUAUGUAUAUAUUAAGCCAUGCAAAAAUGGCUAAUAUGUUAUGUGAGUAUAUGAAAAUUUAGUCAAGUUUAUAUGUGUUAUAUGCUUUGGAAAUGGUUAAUGAUUUUGGAUGUAUAUGUGGAUGAUUCGGCUAUGGUUUAUGCAUAGAUAAAAGUAUAUGUGAAUUUGGUUGUUAUGUUUGAUUAAGGUGUUAUUAUGUGAAUUGGCAUUAAAUGAUAUUUUGUUAUGUUCAAACAUGGUAGGAAUAUAUUAUGAUAUGCUUAUUAGAUGGUAUGUAAGAUUUGUGUUUUGGGUAUAUAUCUAUAUUUGGUUAAUGACAUGAAUAUUAUAAAUAGCUUUAAGUGAGCUUGUUAAAUGAAAAAUGGUUGUUUUUGAGUUGUGGUUUGUAAAUGUUGUCAAUUAUAGUGUCAAUUUGGCUAUGCUUUAGAUUAUAUUGAAAAUAUGUAUUCAUGGAAUAUCGUUUAAUGCAUGAUUAUACGGUUAAACCUAGUAAAAAUAUGGUUGUAUGCUUAAAACAUGUUUACCUUGAAAUUGCUAUUUAAGUUCGGUCAUGAAUGGAUAUAAGUGAACAAUAUUUUUAAAGGUCAUAUUGAAGUUGUUUUGAAUGUCCGAAUGUUGACUAUUUGUUCGUUAAUGAGUAUGUAAUUUUAGGCAUAUUAAUUAGCACAAGUAAUGAGUGUACUUUUUGGUGGUGUUUGUACUUAAAAUUGUUUAAUUUAGUAUGGCCAUAUGCGUAUGAUCUAAUGACUAAAAAAAUAGGUAUGUUUAGUCUUUAAUGAUUAGUGUUUAAAAUGAAGUAUAUGAAAAUGUAUGAUUAAUGCAUAUGAAAAUAUAUGAUUAAUGCCGUAUGGAUGUUUAAAUUUGCAUUAAUGUGCAAAGCAUGUAAGUUCAUAUUGAUUAUUACUAAUUCGCAUAUGUAAGUGGUUUUUAAGUUAUGUAAUAUGGCUUAUUUAGUUUUAAGAAUGUGUAUGUAUAUUUGUUAAGGAAAUGUCAUAUUUGAUAGUCAGCUAAAGAAGUAGACAUAUUGGCUUGCAUUUGAUAAAUAACUGUAAUGUUACAUAUUGAAAUGAUAUGUGAUUUGGUGGCUAUACGCAUAAUUACAUAGAUGGUAUUGGAAGUAUGUUUGACUAUGUUGAUAAUAAUUAAUGCUGUGUAUAUUAAUGUAUAAUAUGCAGUAAGUAAUACGUUGAAAUUUGUUAUGAUUUAUGUAUACAAUGUGCAAAUCAAUGUAUGUUCUGAAAUGUAAAUUAACUAUAUGCUCUUUAUAAAUGAGUUUGACUUGUGUGAAGAUAUGAAUGUUUGGAAUUGUGCUUUUGUUCGAUAAUGCCUCGUAACUCUAAUCCGGUGACUGCUAUGGGUUAGAGGUGUUACAAAAAUCCUGUUAGAACAUAGAGCCACCCCAAUCUAUGACUGUCAACAAUUUUUUGAUCUAAAUCAAGAAUAAGUAUGGAUGACCCCUAUUAUACAAUCCUUACAAGAGGAAAACUCAGUAGAUGAACGAAAAAGAGUUAGCCAAAGUAAAACAUAAAGCCGCAAGGUACAAUGUUGUUAUUUACUUUUAAUGUAUCCUGGUAUCUGCAAGUUAUUUAACUUUCAUUCAAUUAAAAUUGUUCGAUCUAUCACCUUUAGAUAUAUCAUGUUAAUGGGUAUAAAUUAUAAAAAUGGUUACUCCCAGACACUUUUUGAGAUGCCCUACUCCCACCAAAGUUGAAUACAUCGUGAUGGAGAUACAUGAGGGAAUAUGUGGCGAUCACUUGGGGGGAAGAUUGUUAGCACAAAAGGUUCUUAGACAAGGAUAUUAUUGGCAAACCAUACAGAAUGAUGCUCACGACAUAGUUUGCACUUGUAAAUCCUGCCAGAAAUAUGCUCUAGUACAAUGCUCACCAACUAAGUUUCUAGAAAUGAUGCUUGGUCUUUGGUUGUUCGCAACUUGGGGAAUAGAUAUCUUAAGUCCAUUUCCAAUAGCCAUAGCUAAAAAAAAUUCAUUGUUACCCUAUGGAAUAUUUUACUAGGUGGAUAGAAGUUGAAGCUUUGGCUACAAUAACAGAAAGGUAAAUGGAAUCUUUUCUCUAGAAAUCCAUUGUUUGCAAGUUCGACAUCCCACGUUUGAUCAUAACAGACAAUGAAACUCAACUCCAAGGAAAAUUUAAGGGCUUCUGUAAGGACCUGCAGAUAUCACUCGCUCAAAGCUUUGUGAAGAUGCCCCAAACGAACGGUCAAGCAAAGGUAAUGAACAAGAAAAUCUUAGUAGCUUUAAAGAAAAGGUUGAUGAGGCCAUGUGUGUCUGGCUAGAAGAGUUACUAGGAAUUAUAUGGAUCCUACGAGUAUCUCUUCACACAGUAACUAGGGAAACAACAUUCUCAUUAGUGUAUAAGGAAAAAGCAGUAAUCUCUACUGAGAUAGGCCUAUGAUCCCACAGGACAGCUUAUUUCGAUGAAAAUGCCAACUAGGAGACCAUCAGACUCAAUUUAGAUCUUAGUGAUGAAAUCAAAAAUGCUGCAUAAGCUCAGCAAGUUGCUAGAUACUACAACUCUAGAGUAAAAACCAAGCAAUUUCAAGUGGGCGAUCUAAUCUUGAGAAUAUUGAAGCUAAUUUCUCAAUAUCGCAGCAAGGAAAAGUGGCCCCUAAUCGAUAAAGACCCUACAAAAUUGUCAAGAAAAAAGGCUAUGGAGCUUAUAGAACAACAAAAAUGGAUAGUCAUGUUCUACCUCGUACAUGGAAUGCUCACCAUCUGAAACAAUAUUAUGUAUGAAUGUUCUACUCUCUUUUUCAAUAAAGAUACAUUCUUUGAAAAUGUUAUUUAAUUUACCCAGAUAGGAAAUAACAAAACAUGUGAAAUAGCUCGCUGAUUUACGAUCACAACUGAUAUUUUUAAAGCUCAUUGAUUUAUGGUCACAAUCUAAGUUCAUUAACUUAUGAUUAUGAACAAUUUUUCCUGAGUUUACUGACUUACAAUCACAACUCCAAACAGCUCGAUGAUUUAUGAUCACAGCCUAAGUUCAUUUAUUUACGAUCAUGAACAAUUUCUCUUGAGUUUGCUGAUUUAUGAUCACAACUCCAAACAACUCACUAAUUUACGAUCAUAGCUGAUAUUAUAAAGGCUUGUUGAUUUAUGAUCACAACCUAAGUUCAUUGAUUUACAAUCAUGAACAAUUUCUCCUGAGUUCGCUGAUUUACGAUUACACCUAAAUUCAUUAAUUUACGAUCAUGAAUAAUCUUUCCUGAGUUAGUGGAUUCACGAUCACAACUUAGGUACGAUGAUUACAAAUCAUAGUUGAGUUGUAUAAUUUAAUGGUUCCUAAUCACCAUUCAAAUUAUAUUUGUUUAAUUCAUUUACGAUGACAAUUUAGUUACAUAAUUUUCUCAAGCAAAAUCACAAUCAAACACCACAAGGUUUCAACACUAAGCAAAGAUAGUUUUUCCAUUUCAAAAUGAAAGACAACAAGUACAAUGAAUAAAAGGAAAUCACAAGUUGACAUUAGUAUCAUUAGGGUCAGUGAACUCUUCUUCUUCUUCUUCUUCCACUUCUUCGUUAGCAUUUCCUUCACAUCCAAUAGUGGGAGUUACGUUGGUUUCUGCAGGAGUAUCAACAAAAUAAAGUCUACUAAAAUUUUUCCACUUUUCAACAAACUCCUCCCAAGCAGUUCCAGAAGGGAAAAAAUUAUCAAAAUUCAACUAAGCACUUGUGAGGUGACUGAAAGCAUCAAAAUUUACCCUACAAGUAUCAAAGGGACUUCUAACCACUUAGGCAUGUAGCAGAAAAGUUGACUUUAAAUGUAGCAGGUAAUCUUAAAAGCUUCACAUUGUGUUAGCCUUAUAUUUUUCCAAGGCUUUUUGAUGGUUCUUUUCCAGAUUAGCCACAGCAAGUUUAUGUUGCUCACUCAUGGCUUUCAUGGUCUCUUCCAAAACAAUCUGAUCAGCUCACAUACCUCCAAAAUCUACAUGUAAUUUUUCAAUAUCUUUUUCAAAAAGAGUGAGGCGAUCAUUUAACUUAUUAUUCUGAUCCAUUAAUUUUCUAUUUUCUUCAUCCAAUUUCCUAUGCAGUUCGCGAGCCCUUUCCAAGGCCCUCAUGGUGGAUUGAUAAAUAUUGUCAAACUUCAUCUUUCUUACCUACUCUUUGCCAAUACCUUCGGCGAGCCCCACACUGAACAUACCAACUUUAGCCAAAGCCACCUGAAGGGAUAAUAUAAGUUCCUUCAAGGAUGGUUUCUUCCCGCAGCUAGAUGAUGUAGAAGGACAAACAUAUUUUUUUUUCUUGAGGCAUAGAUUCUUUCAAUUUUCUACUUACCUCAAUAAGGAAAUAAGGAAACUUCUGCAUACUCAAGUGCUCGCACCAGGGAAAUAAUGUUUGUGUCUCACCACAAGUAGACAUAAACUUUAGUAAACCCUCAAAAGGGUCAUGUUGAACAAUUACACCAAAAUUGUCCUCGGUUGGUGGUCUUGGUGGAGAUAGGGACACAGAAAGAGAAUGUACCACAGGAGGGACUGUAACAAUGGUCGCCACACUACCAAAUGAUGUAGUAUAAUCUUUUCCCUUCUUUUAACGAAGUUCCCUUACAGGGCUACCCUAGUCUUUGUCGCUUAAUAUAACAUUGGCAGCUCCAAUAGUCGGUUUUUUUUGUUUCUUUAAACUACUUUCACUUCCUUCCCCAACAAAAGCUCUAGAAGGAAACCCUAGCAUAUUUUACAUAAAGGAUCGAACGUCCAUGUAUUCAUCGAUCUCCUUGGAUAAACUUGUUGAUUCCCAUGAAUUCUCUUCAAUAAUACGAGUUGUGUUUGCAUCACCAACAAGUCUAUUAUCAGUACCAACAGUAAUCAUAAGGGUGUUCGUGCUACCUUUUGGAUCCUCUACAGGUUUAGAGGACCACGGAUGAGGUUUAAUUUAUAGAAGGUAUAAAAAUAAUUUUUAGGCUCCUCCUUUUUCCCUAAAAGUAUAAGUCCUAACUCAUCAGUAACUCCAUAUGGCCACGCGAAUUGUUGUCAUCAAUUGGCUACCACCCAUCAAGGGUUAGAUCUAUAAGGCAAUGGUAAAACAUAUUUCUCAUAGUUAACACCUCCUCUAACUUCAAUACACGACCUCGACAAAGCCUAUAAAAUUAAGCCCACCCUGGCUCCAAUGGAAUUUCUUAUCUUUGCAGGCACACACUCUUGUUAGGUAUAGACCAUUCAAUUGGAAAAUCAAAACUAGCUUCAAAUUUAUUAUUUACCCGUAUGUAUUUACAAAAAAUUAGUCAAAAUUUCGAAGACCAAUUAGAAAUAAUUGAUUCCAAUCCCUCACGAUGAGUAAAAUAAAAUAAGCCCCGAGAACCUCCUCGAUUAUAGGCUUUGAGUCGGUAUAAAUUAUGAAAAACAGAAAUCAACAGUGCCUCUUCUCUUCAACCACAUUCAAUGAAAUAGGCCACUGUGACCCACCAUGAAAAGUCGGAUAGCUACCCCGAAGCUAUUUCAUACUCGUCAAGAAGAUGAUAGGAGAAAGGGCGGAAUGGAAUAUGAAAACCUACUUCCAGUAUGUGUAAGGGAAGUGAGAAACUUCCAUUGGUGGUGUUACUUAAUCGCCUCGACCCUUCAACAAUUGAGAAGUCAUAAGCAAAAUUUGGUAGCUAGAUCCCUCAAGUGACCCAAUAACGACUCAUUUCAUCAAGCUUAGUGGUGCAAGCGUACACUUUUGCCUUUAUGAGAGCAUUUACUUAAUGACAUUGUGAAGGCUCAUUUCCUAAACCACCGUGGUUACCCUGACCACUACAACCACUUCCUCUCAACCUAGCCAUCGUACCAAACUAAACCUAGAAUAACUACAAAGACAAUUUGGAAAUUUAAAGAAAUUUACCUCUGAAACAUGAUUAUCCUCCUCAACAGUAGCUCAUUCUCAAAAAUUUCAAAUCCAAAUAAUUCAAUAUUUAGGGUUAAUGUCACAUCUUUUUAAAGAAUUUCAAACCCUAAUGAUUCGUGUGUUUGAGAAUGAAGGCAUAGCUUCAUAUAGUUGUACCUCUCCUUAACAUGUGGUGAAGCAUUUAUAACAAAUUUGAGUGAAAAGCAUAUAUGAGAAGUUUCUUCCUCAGAAAUCCCCACCUCGUGUAGCCAAGUUCUUAGAAGAGUCACUUUAUAAUUCUUUUUUGAGCUAGAUGAGGAACAAAUUGUUAUGGAGUUUGCCAUUAUCAACCCGCAAUCUGGGUACCCAAUUGAAACCAACUCGAUCAGUUGUGAUAGCCUGCAUAGUUUGCUAGCAUGAGUUCAUACGUAGGGUGUUCGCAUCUCGCUUGAUAAGUUCGCAUCAUCAUGCAAGCGAACUCAUAUUUAGGGAACACGUGUUAAUCCUAGAGUAGGGUACGUGUUUGUCAUAGCUGGAGAUUAGGACCAAAAGUUUUGGUAGUGCGAUGUAAAGGUUCGCCAGUAUUCUGGUGAACUGGAAUUGCCAAAAGUUUAGUGAACUGGGGGUUCACAAAGAUUCAAGUGAACUGGGUGUUCGCUGUAACAACCCUAUAGUCAGGGGUAUCGAAAAGUGCAUUCUCGGGACUCCGUUCCAUAAAUCAAAUUCGUAAAUAUUUAUUAUAAAUAUUUACCAAGCUAGUUGUGUAGUUAAUUAGGUUCCGAUUAAGUGAAAUUGCAUGAAUUAAGAGUUAUUAUAGUAUAAGGACUAAAUCGCGUAUAAGAUAAUUUUUUAAUUAUAGAUAGAAAUCAAUUGAGGGAUUAAAGUAGUAAUUUAACAAUUUCUUAAUAUGGUGGACAGCAUAUGUUAUAUAUAUAUGUUAUAAUAUUAAGUAAUUUUAAAAGAAACUAUAUAUAUAUGUAUUAUAUAAUAAUGAUCAUAAUUAUAUAAUAAUAAUUAAAGUAUAAUAAAAUGAGAUAACAAGAGAAAGUGGAUGUAUGCAAUUAAAAAGAAAGAGAGAAAAAAAAUAAGAGAGAAAAGGGAGAAGAAGUUGCGGCAACCUAAGGGUUUUAAGGUUCAAAAUAAAAAAUGGUUAGUCAAUUUAGUCUAUUUUCUUGUAAUUUUUAUAUUUUUGGAAUCCCGAUGUUAAGUACUACCCAACCUAUGUUGAAAUUUUAGAAAUUAUUAAGAUUUUAAAUGUUAAAGUUGAAUAGUUUUAGUAUUAGGGAUUAAAUUGAUAGAUUUUUAAGCUAGAAAUGAAAAUGGUUAAAUUGUAGAACAAAUUGUAAAUUUUGAGUAAUAGGGACUAAAUUGUGCAAAAAUUUGAAAUUUUUGUGAAAAUUUUGAAAUUUAGGUGUUUAAUUGAAAUAGGGAGUUAAAUUUAGCUUAAAGUGAAUUUAGUAUAAAAAUAUAGGAUUAAAUGUGAAGAAUAAAAAUUAGAAUCGGUUUAAGAACUAAAUUGGAAUUUAGACAAAUAUUGAGUAAAAUUUGAAAUAGUCAAUAUGAAAUCAAAUUGUGUUGUAUUGAUUUAUAUUAAUUGUUUUAGUUCCGUAGCUAACGUCAUGUCAGAAUCCUCGACUAAAAAGGGGAAGGAUAAAAUCGACGUCAAAUAGCUCGGAAUCCAUGGUUUGUAUUUCUAUAAUCCGAACCUAGUUAUUAAUUGUUGUAUUUUGAUUUAAUGCAUAUGGUAAGUGGUUGAGGUGAGUAUUUUGACAUUUUGAUAUUGAAUUGAAAUUAUAGUUGAUUGAAAUGGAUUGAAUUGGUAUAUAUAUUAUGAAUGUAUUGAUUAUUUGAAUUGAAAUGAAUAUAUGUGUAAAUGUGAUAAUGUGAAAAUAUGAUAAUUGGAUAUUGGUUGUAUUUGGAAAGUGAAUUGGAACCCUAUUAACUGUAUUAGGCUAAGUCAGAUAUAGAUGGCAUGCCACAAGAUAGGAAGAGUUUAGGGAUUUCUUCGACUUCGAGUCAAUAAGGCACUGGGUUCCAAUUUACUUCAGUUUAACCGAUGAGACACCGGGUUUCAAUUUAUAUAGCUCUGGGCACAAUUAUUACGUUGGAUUUAUCCGAUGAGGCACUGGGUGCCAAACUGGUGUGUUGGUUGGAUCCGUGUAUCAGUCCGAGUCCGAGUCGUGUUAAUAGGGGUAAUCAAAUAAUAAAGUUCUGUAAUCGAUAUUGAAUGAUAUUGUGUGUGAAUUGAAAAUGAGAUAUGUUGUGAUUAAAUGAGAUACAUGAGUUAUGUACUCAUGACUUGAAUAUUGAAUGGAUAAUGCCAUUGUAUAAACAAAUGUGGUUUGAUAUGUGAAAAGUUAUUUAUAUAGCAAGUGUGUGAAUUAGGACAUUUGUUAAACAAAUGAAAUAUGACAGCAUGUGUAAAUUGAAUAUAGUAUAAAAUUAUAUGCUAUUAUAUAUGAAUUCAAAAGGUUGGCAUAUGGUACUUGUGAUUUUAGACAUUAAUAUGUGUUUAUAAUUCAAUUGUGCAUUUUGUGUUCUCUUGUCUUUAAAUGUUUGAAUUAUAGAAAUAUCACUGAGUUUUACUCAGCGUACAGUUUUGUUUUUCCCGUACGCAAGUUAGGUACUUCUAUUUUGAUCACUGAUUCAGCAUCCAGCAAAGAUCUCAAUCUCAAAUAUAGUGAUGUUUAUCUUUUUGUGUUGGCAUGUACCUAUGAUGUCUAGUUGAUAUUUAUUUUGUGGAUGGAUUGUAAAUGAAGUUAUAAAUGUAUGUUUGUGUUUGAAACCAUAAUUUGUCAUGUUGUUUUGAACCAAUGCUUGUUAUAUGUAUAAACUAGGCCAAAUUGAUGGAUUUUGGCAUGUUUAAAAUUUUGAUUUGAAUAAUGCUUUUAUGAUAUGUUUUGAUGAUAUAAAUAUGGUACCAAUGAGGGUACAUUGGUUAGGCACCUAGGAUGAUUGUUUUGGCAUGUUGUGAGUGUGUUUGAUCGUGUUUUGAAUAGAUUAAACGAAUGGUUUUUUUAGUUUCUUAAUGCCCAAGGAAGUAGGAAAUGGUAAACUUGUGGUUUAAGGUACAUUUUAGGUCCACAUGUCCAAACACAUGGGCGUGUGACUUGGUCGUAUGAGACACACGGCUAACAUACGGGCAUGCAAGGCCAUUUAGAGGGUUACACGGCCUGGCACACGGGCAUGUUGCUUGGCUGUGUGACCCAAGUCAGUGAGUUACACUGGCAAGGAUACGAGCUGGGACACGGGCAUAUGUCCCUACUUCGAAUGCCCACACGGCCAGACACACAGGCAUGUGACUUGGCUGUGUGACCCCUGCAGUUGAAUUUUUCCAACUUUUUUCCUAAAUUCUUCAAAUGUUUCCAAUUUAGUCUCAAAUCAUUUCUAAAGUGAUUUUUAGGCAUCGAAGGCUUGAAUAAGGGACGUUAUGCAUGUUAAUGAUGAAUUAUAUUGUAACACCCCAAACCCGGCCUAGACGUUAUGGCCGAAUCUGGCGUGUCACAUUGAAGUGUUUUAGCGAAAGCCGUGUUUUCAUUGAAAACCCUUCUUAAACAAAAGAAACCUUAAUUAACUUAAAAAUAAACACACCUUUCAGUUGCAAAAGCCUUGUUUAAAACAUUUGAUUUAAGAAAACUUUAUCAUUUAAAAAUUAAGUUGCGGAAACGUAGAAAACAUACUAUAAUUUAGGAAUCCCAUGUUCAACUUCUCGUAAUUACAAUGAAAAUAAUAAUAAUCCAAAUAAUAAUAAGAAGGAAGCCCUAUUACAUUCCGGUCCGAAAAAUACUUAAUAAAAUAAAGAACUUAUAUGCUUUUAAAAGAGAAACAAGUCCAAGUUGUCUUGCUAGCUGGCCACCCAGAGUCCCUCCAAACAUCGAACCUUCUACUGAGCAUCACCUGAAAAAAAAAUAAAAGAAGGGGUGAGUUUUCGCAAACUCAGUGUGUACAACCCUUGACGGAAAAACAAGCAUUCAAAAAAAACAUCAUUCAUCAAUCAUGCAAUGCAAUCCCAUCCAAAUUAUCCAUCCGCUACACACUAGCUCCGUCCCCCAUCACACCAUGUAGGGAUAUAAAUAUCGCCCACCCGGCCCACACACCAUGGUAGCCCGGUUGCGGAACUACCUUUAUUUACAUAUUGGGCUUUAAAAGCCGUCGGUGAAUCCACAAUUGUCAAGCAACCAUGCGAUCCUCAUAUACUUCCUCCAUUCCAUAGUUCCCACCCAUAUGCAACCUAAACAGAAUAUCAUAUGUAUGCAUGUCACAUCCAUAAAACUUACAUUCUACACCUAGGUGUAUUUUGGUCAUUUUCGCCCUUAAGGGUACUUUGAGAAUUUUCUCAUAAUUAUGGUUUUGACUUACCUUAGCCCGUUAACGAGUCCCGUGAGCUAAGAUGAACGAACACUAUGCACCAGGUAGGAUUCCAGAGAAGAGGAGGUGAGUCAUUAAGACCGCUUAAGUACCAAGCUCUCCCUAGAUCCAAUCCUAAACAUGCAUAUACCCGUUGCCACACCUUAACCCUUUGACUUGUCCACGGUCGCAAUAUAUUAAUUAAGUCUUAUGUGGAUACCAUAUACUAGGCCUAAAACCCCUUACAAAGCCCAAACAAUUUCACAUACCUGUAUCUGGCCCAUUAAGCCCAAUCAUAUUCAUAUGGCCCAUUAGGCCCAAAUCACCUGUAUAUGGCCCAUUAGGCCCAAAUCAGAUUUAUACGGCCCGUUAGGCCCAGUCACAUUCAUAAUCACGCUCACAUACAAGUUCCUAUCACAUAGCAUCAACAUUUAGUUUUUUUCCUAUUAUGGGUCCAAUUGCCCAUCGGGCCCAUUUAGCCCAUUCCGGCCCAUAUGGACAAAUCACAACCCAAGUCCACGGAAUCACCCGUGGGCCUCAGGCAACCUAUCAGUCUCCCCCUUACGAGUGUUCGCACACUCGCAAGACUACCGUAGCCAAACUUUCGACAUUUCGGCUUUUCGGUUUUUCGGCAUUUCAGCUUUUGCCGAUACAUAUUGUGUGUGCAGUGUAUUCACCUGGUAAGCAAGCGUGAUGCGAUCUCCUUAGCCCAAACCUAAAAUCAAUAUCACUCAAAGAUUAAUCAUACAUACUUAUUGAAUACUUUACCAAAAGCUAGAAUCUCACAUUAACCUUACCUUGCGCGAUAAGUAUAACAACCCCUUCACUAACCACGAUCAACUCCUAGAUCUGCACCAAUCAUAACUAUUAAAACCAGAAUAAUAGGUGACUCGUAUCCAACACAAGUCCCCUUACCUUACUGUGGCUAUUUGGCCAACCUUAGCCAAUGGAUAAGGAAUACUUACCAAGACUGUAAACACCUUAAGAGCAAUUCGGCAGAGAGCUAAGAUCUGAGAUUCGAUACUAAUUCCACUAGAUUCUGUCAAAGAGUAUUCAGCCCUUGAGAGAUUCGGCUUUUCAGCUUUUCAAACUUAGUAUGGUGAAUAAGGUUUAUUUGAUACAGAUUAAAGAAGAAGAGUAGAAGAAGAAAUUGGCUAAGUGAAACAAAGAAAAUUGUGUAGAGAAGAAUAGCAAUCGGCAGGAAGAAAUGAAAGAAAAACAAAAGGGUUUUUGGCUUUUUCGAUCUUGAAAAGAAAAAGGUUUUUGGCUUUUGGAGAAAGGGGUUUCUGGCAACAAGGUGAAGAAGAACUUCGACAGUAGCCUGGCAACCGUGUAUUCAGCCCCUAUUUGUAACCUUCAUAGCUGAAUUUUCUAUGCCCAAUUCCCAAUUCGGCUGCAUCACUUCUCCCUUCUCAUCUCCUCAUUUUUCUCCCUGAUAACCCCUUGAUCUUUUUCUUAAUUUUCUCUUCUGAACACUCUCCUUGGAGUCCAUCUUCACGCCACUUUCAUCCUUCUAGAAGGCCAAAAUUAAACUUCUAAAAAUACUAAGCUAAGAUUCGAACAUUGGAUCUCCUUGCUAGCUACUAACGCCACCUCCUUACUCCCUAAGUGGCGUCACUUAGCCACUCAUCCACAAGGCUUUUUGAUGCUAUUUUUCCCCUAUUUUUAUUUAAAAGUCCAACUACUUGCCAACCUUGAUUCUUUUAAUAAUUAAACUAUAAUUUCAUUUAUUCCCAGGUUCGAACUCAAACCUUAAUUAAGACCUACUAUAAUUAUCACAUGGCUAAGAACAUAAAACAACAUAAAACACAAUUUUUAUCAAAACUGAAAACAAAGAAAGUUCGAGAUUUCGAGAUUUUUGGGUUUCGAGAUUUUUGGGCCGUUACAUAUAUUAUGAUUUUUGAAUUGUUUUGAAAUAAAUGAUUUAGAUUAUGGUUACUUGGUAAUGCUCCGAAUCCCUAUUCUGGUGAUGGAUACUAGUUAGGGGUGUUAUAUUCACUAAGAGAUGUUUCAGUAAAGGGUGUUCCCCAGCAGCAAUGUACGCCAAAUGAAGUGGAAAGGUGUUCGCCAAUUUCACUACGAUGUAGGUUCGCUAAUGUAUUGGCGAGCUGGGUUUUACCAGUCUAUUUGAUGAAAUGGGGUUCGCUAGUCAGUUUGGUGAACGAGGGUUCGCUAGUUUUGUUGUGAAGUAGGGCUCGCUAGUCAAAGAUACAGUCAGACUUGAAUUAGAAAAUAAAGAUUUAGUGUAUCUAGGAAUACUUUACGUGCAGGUAACAACUUUCCUAAUUCAGUUAGGGUAUCCAAAGAAAUCUAGGACUACUAGGUCUAUAAAUACGACCCUUAAUUCUGUGAAAUUCUUCACUGAAUAUUUUAUCGUCAAAGUCUCUAUUCUAGAUUAUGUUCGUAGCAAUUCGAUUAAGUCCUUGUCCUGUUAGAGUUGAUCGUAUCAAAAGCUAGGUUCCCUUGCAUGUGUGAAAUCUGUAUGCUUUGUUAGUAAUCUAUUUGUUUGUUGUGAACCAAUCGAACCAUCUUUUAGCAAUGAAAAAGGCAAAGCCAAACUCGUUUGGAUUUCUUUAUCUUCGUUGAGUGAUCAGAUCUAAUAUGAGUAUGUCAACUGCCAUGAUUUCAGGUUAAUGGUAUUAUUUUCUAAAGAAUUCCAUUUUCGAAACCAAGUUUCAAAGAAAGUGUUUUUAAUACUCUGUUUUAGGAUACGAUAACAGUAUUGUGCAAGCUCCUAAGAGAGCCAAUGUUUUUAAAGAAUUUUUUAAGAAAUGAUUUUAAUAAGUUGUGUAUCUGUCAAGCUACCUAUAUGAGCUUCGUGCGAUAAGAAGUUGUGUAUCAAUCUAGCUUUAUGAGCUUUCUACGUGCUCCCUCACGAGCAUAAGCUUUCUAUAUGUCUCCUUUUGUAUGCUCUGUUGUGAGCUAGGUUGGGUAUAAACAUAUCCAACGAAACAAAAUGCUACUCCUCAGUGAGUUUAGCUCUAGAUAUGAGCUUUCAUAGACCAGUCCCAUUCUACAUGCUUCGUGAGAGCUAGGUUGGAUAUAAACAUAUUCAACGAGACAAAGCCUUCUGCAAACUGAACCAAUCCUGUGACCUAAGGUGAGCUUUAUUCGUGUUUAAGUUUGAUGAACCAGUCUUGUAAAUUAAGGCAAACUCUGUUAGUAAGUGUGAACCGGUCCUACAAUCUAAGGCAGACCCUGUUCAAAGAAAAGGUUUUCUGAAAAGUGUGAGCUGGCUUCGUGAUUUUAUGGUGAACCCAGACUCGAUUUUUAAAGGUUUUUGAUAAACGGAAUAGGCCACAUGAUUUUAAGGUGAUCCCUACCAAGUAUGUUUUAAGAAAAUGCUAAUGAGUUUUCAAAACUAUUUUCUAAAGUCAUGUUUUCUGACAUGAUAUACGAAUUGGGUCUCACAACCUCACCCGGAAACGCAUCACACAAAACUUUUUUCAAUAAUUUUUCUAUUAUUUUCAAACAUUGUUUUUAAACAUAACCUAAUGGUUUCUGAUUAUUCACUGAUUUCUUAAUGAACUCACCCACUGCUCUCUUACUUCUCAGGUAAGUAGGCCGAGGAUAGCGUUGGCGAGGUCGAUGAUCCACUGAGGCACCUGACUGAUAUAAGUGAACCAUACAAAAGGGCAGUGAGUUUUUAUUAUACGGAUUAGAACAAUAAAUUAUAUCAUUAAUUUGAUUACUGAACAAUUUUCUUAAGCUUAAAGUAUAAAAUGCUAUGUUUUUAAGAUUGAUUUUACUAUUCCUGCGAACCAUGACUUGGAAUAUAUUAUCUAUUUCUGUUAAUAAUAAAUCAAUGUUAUUCAUUCAUGAGUACUUUAUUGUUUGGCUGAGUAUCAUGAUUUGAUAUCCAUGUAUGUUGCAUAAAUUACUUGCGUACCAUUGUAGUGUUAGUAUAUUUACAUACGAACCACUGAUUACUACGAAUCAUAUUUACAAACGUACCCCUGUUGUGAUAGUUUUAUUACAUACGAGACCUUAGGUACCAUAUUUACAUGUGUACCCUUAGCUUUGUGAACCCUUAUGUGUAUGCAAACCCAUGAUUUCAUGCGAACCCUAUUAAAGUAUUACAUUCCUUGCAUGCAUUUUUUUUACGAAGCCUGAUGUUUAGUGAAACUAUGAUGUAUAAGCAUUAUAGGCAUUAGGCGAAUUGUUAAUGUUUUGUGAGCUUACACAUUUGUAUGUAAACUGUUUUGCUUUGCGAACUCAGGUUUUCAUGUGAACCUAUGUUGAGUUACGAACUCAUGUUUAUGUUUUUAAUAAGGUAUGUGAUCUAUGUUUGAAUGUUAUGCGAGUGCUUAAGUGUAAUGCAAACCUGUAAGUGUUUUUAAGUAUAUGAAAUUUUUGUUUCGCAUUAUUAUGUACUCUAAUCUAUCUUGCAUGCGAACCUUUGUGUUUUAUGAAUGCAUGAUUUUUGUUUCUUUGUUAAGUUUAAACACCUUAUUCGCAUGCUAUCUAUAAGUGGUGUGCUAGAAGUUAGGUUGGGAGCUAACGGAGAGUCACUUCGGUGGCUAAUGUGGCACACUAGGUUCGAGUCAAAUCUUCUCAAUUAGGUUCGAGGUGUUACAGUAUUAGCUUGCAUAGGGGCCUACCUUGGAUGUCACAUCCAUGAACCGUAUCAUAUAAAUAAGGAAACGAGCCUCUUUGGAAAAGAGACACACAAAAAUUCUCAAAGAUGAAAACUACUUAAUAAUAGUUUUUUUAACAUAAAAAAACUUAGAAAUUUUUAAUUUAUGUCAAAGUUGACAUGCAUGGUAUAAAAAAGAAAAAAAUAUAUGAUUAUUAAAUUGUUAAAAUAUUAAUCGUGAUGUAAAUAAAUCACUCUCUUUUAUUUUAAAUAUUUAUAUAUAUAUUGACAUGGUUAUUAGUAAUAAUCAUUUGGGCUAAUCUUUCCAUAUUACAAAUUACAUUGUCCAAUAUCCAACUUGAUUGGAUAAACAAAUGUAACAAAUUUUCAAUUAUCAUAGUUGGAGAUUAAGCACAAGCUUCUGUUUCAGUUAAAAGGAUUGGUGAAAAAAAAAGCAGUAAAGGAUAGUUUUUCUUAUUAGACCCCAGGUAAUUUGUACCAAAAUAUCUAGAUUAACAGAAAAUUUUCCCUAUUAAACCCCAUGUGACUAAACACUUAUAUAAAUGAUAAUUCAAUGCUUGAAGAUGUCACAAAGACUAAGAUUGAUAAAUUAAUAAUAGUUAAAAACAAACAAAAGGAGCAUCCUCAAUCCCACAUUUAAUUAUCUAAUUUUGGUUCAAUCAUAAUACAUAAGCUAAAUUAUAAUAAGUUUAGAUUGGGUUUCUCUGAUAGUUUCUAUGUUGAUCUCGUUAGUUUAUUUGGAGGGUUUGGCACUUUGGAGGUCGGGUGAGUUGGUGGUCUCGGUGACUAAUUCCAAUAAAAAUUUCAUCCACGCCAACACCCAGUGACUUAUAAAAUCUGAUUGGUAGUGUUCCUUUGUGUAUGUAUGCCCGUAGAAAAAUAAUAGAAAUUGGUCAUGAAUAAUAUUGCCGAGCUAAAUUUUGAUAUAAGAAAACCGUAGAUCAGAUUGGGUGACUUUAUUGCUAUUAAAAACCAAGGAGAAAAAAGAGGUGGCAGACCCAUGGAUCUCAAUGCUUGUCGAGACUUUGGAGAAUGGUUAGAAGAGUGUGAGUUCAUCAAGCUUAAUGUGAGCGAAGGUGGUUUUACUUGGUCUAAUAACAAAGUCAACAAUGAUUGCAUCCAAGAAAAAUUGGAUUGUCGGUUUUUCAACAUAUCUUAGGGUGAAUACUUAUUGAAGUGCUAAUGGUCUAAUUUAAGUGGCUAUGGAAUUAGAUCAUGCCCCGUUUAUCCUUUAUCUCCAAAAGACUAGAAGGAUAAGGUGGAGUUUCAAGUUUGAAUCAAAAUGUUUGGUGGUGUAAUGAUUUGAUUUUUGGUAGUGUUGAAAAAUAAGAUUUCGGAACCUCAUUUCUGUAAAUCAAGCCCGUAAAGAUAAAAUAGGAUGAUAUACAGAGUUAUUAUGAAAAUAUAUUAAGGAUUAGUUAAGUAAUUUUGUAACACCCCUCGCCCGUAUUCGACACUGGGACAGGGUUCGAGGUGAAAUCGAACUUAAACUCAACCAACUAUAUAAAAUCGGGCCGUAAAAUUUUGAUCAAUUUAAAACUUUUCAUUUCACAUACAUUUUGUCCCUUAAACGGGCUCACAAGGCCCAAAACAUGCAUUAGAGACGGUUCGAGACUAAACUUAGAACUUAAGAAAAACUUAGAAAAUUUUCAUGCUUUAAGGCUCCACACGCCCAUGUGCUAGGGCCACGCCUGUGUCCCGAACCCGUGUCCAAAAACUUGGACACUCUGCCAAUUUGACUAUAAACAAAUUGAAGCCGCACGGCCAAGGCAUACGCUUGUGUCCUAUGGCCAUGUCCUUCACACGGUUGAGACACAUGGCCGUGUCUCUUGCCCGUGUGCUUACUACUAUGCAUACUGACUUGAAAAACUUAGGUGCAGGGGACACACGGCUGGACAACACGCCCAUGGGGGUGGACCGUGUGUCACGCACAGCCUAGACACACGCCUGUGUGUCUACCCGUGUGGACAAAUACAAGGCUAUUUUUCAAGCCAUUUUGUCCCCCUCACAACACAUGCACGCAUACUUAUACAAUAGCAUACAACAUGGAAAAAUUAGACACUUAAACAUUUCUAACAUGUCAUGAUCAUGGCAAUUUCACAUGCAAUAGAUAUCAUAGAUUUUACUCACAUCUUUACCACAUUCAUGCCAUAAUCAUUAUAAACUCAUCAUGUAAGUCCAUAGCACAUGCAUGCAUCUUUAAAAUGGGUUUACAACCCCAUAAUCAAAAUAAGCCAAUACAUUUGGCUAAAAUAAUAUCACAUACUCGAAUAUUUAAACUUCUAUACAUGUCAUAGACUCAAAGUACUUGAAAUCACUUACACCAAUAGCGAUAGCUUGACAGUGUGAUAAUAUCCCUGAUGAACUCCAACCCGAGCAAACCUGGCAACCCUUGAGAACAUGGGAAAGGAAAGGGGAAAGCUUUACGCUUAGUAAGUUUAUAUGAAAAUAAUAAGCAACUCAUUAACAUGUUUUAUCCAAGUUCUCAACAUAUUCUCAAGUCAUGAUAAGCUGUCUUCUUGUACAAUAGUCAAUGAAAUAUUUACAACUGGAGAUACAAAACUCUAAAUUAAGUUUUGUUAAUUUUAAUUUAAACUAGACUCAUGUACCUUUCUACCAUAAAAUUUCCAGAAUUUUUGGUUUAGCCAAAUAGCACAGUUUAUUCCUCAAAGUUACCCCUAAUUCACUGUCUGAUAGUUUCGACCCUUUUGUACUAAAGUUCAAUUAUCCCAUAGCACAGGACUCGAAUAAUGUUCUUGUCUAUUUUUCUUGAAAAUAGAUUCAUUAAGGAUUCUAAAAAUAUAAAUUAUAACUCAUAAAUAGUUUUUUACAAUUUAUAAUGAUUUUCUCAAAUUAGAACAGGGGAUUUCGAAGUCAUUCUGACUCUGAAUCACACAACUUCAAAUAUCUCAUUCUCGGAAAUUCUUUUGCUUACAUGGUUUAUUUUAUAAGAAACUAGACUCAAUAAUAUUUAAUUAAAUAUUUUAUUCAGCCUCUAACUCAUUUUACACUAUUUUUAGUGUAUUUUCAAAGUCAGACUAUGGCUGCUGUCCAAAACUAUUUUAGUGUAAACUAACGAUGCUAAGUUUAUCACACCAUAUUAAUUCAUUUCCACCACAUUGGUAAGGUUACAUAUUCAUACAUCAUACGUAUAGACCUAUAAUCACAAGGUCAUCACAAAAUCAUUCUCAUAGGCAUGAAUUACCUAUUUACAUCAUCAUCAAAUGUGCAUCAUAAACUGAAAUCAUUUCUCAUAAGCUUGGCAUACAUACCUAGGUUACUCAACAUGCUCAUAUUCAUUCCUUACUAAUCAUAUAACAUGAAUUGAAUUCACAUCUCAUCAAUUUCAUGUUAGUACCUGUACUACUCAUAAUAUGGUCAUAACCUUUCUCAUUUAACUUAAACCGUAACUCUCACCGUUGAACCAUUCGAAAAGUUACCGGAUAUUCACUGAGCCUCAAACAUAGGGAUAAUGCCGAUGUCAUGUCCCAGAAAUGGUCUUACACUUCCUCUCACAUAUCUGUGCUGAUGCAUGUCCCAGACAUGUCUUACACUAGAACAUCUCGUAGCCGAUGCAUGUCCCAGACAUGUCUUACACUAGCUUACAUAUCGAGGCCGAUGCAUGUCCCAAACAUGUCUUACACUAGCUCUCGUCUCAAUGCCGAUGUCAUGUCCCAGACAUGGUCUUACAAUGGCUCUCAUAAUGUGGCCGAUGCAUGUCCUAGACAUGUCUUACACUAGCACACACACAUCACCCAAUGUCAUGGCAUGAAUAUUCGUUUAUUCCUAAGGUUCAAUCGGGAGGUUCCUCUACAUCAAUUCUCAUCAUACAUAAUCAUUUCCACAAUCAAGCAAUUUAUGCUAUAUCAAUUCAAAUACGUGUAAUAACGAUGUAGUUAUAUUAUUUACAUACGACUUACUCGUUUCUAUGGGAUAUCAUAUUCCAUUGAAUUUCUAAUGUCUUCUACCAUCACGUGAAUGUUAUUAACUUUUGGCAUCACUUUCAUCAUACUCAAUAUCAUCAACAUAUAAUUCAAUAUAACCGAAGCAAGAUAGAUUCAAGUAUAUUAACAAUAACAUGGAUAACAUGCUUAUUUACUUAUAUGAACUUACCUCGACACCAAAUUGGUAAAAGAGGCCUAAACAUCAAUUUCUCGUUUUUCCUCAUUCUAAGCCCGAAUCUCGGUUUUCAUCAUUAGCAUGGGAGUUUCUUUGCUGAAAUUUUCCAACUUCUAAACCCUUUUCUUGACUGGAAAAAUCAGUGGAGAGAAGAUGAAGAAAAGAUGAUAUUUUCUUUUCUUUAUUUUAUUACUUAUUUGUCAAAUAAGUCACCCAGCACUUACCUAACAUAUUUGACCAUUUAAUUCCUUGUCUCAUGGCGGGCCAUCACUCUUUCAAUGGCCUAAUUUCACAUUAAAAACCCCCAAUUUAAGAUACAAGGCAAUUUAACACUUUUAGGUAUUAAAACACUUUUACUUUUUACGCGAUUUAGUCCUUUUUUGAAAUUGGACUAGAAAUCGCUAAAAUUAAUAUACCAAAAUUAACAUGCACUUAUAAAAUCACAUUAUAGCACAUAAAAUAACAUCAAAAUAAUUUCAUCCGGCCUCGGAAUAGUGGUUCUGAAACCACUGUUCUGACUAGGCUCAAAAUUGAGCUGUUACAAAUUUAACUAAGAAAAUUCAUUAAUUAAAGCUUAAUGACUAAAUUGUGAAUUUUCAAUCGCUAUUAAAUCUUAAUUUAGAAAAUGCUUAAAGAUCUAAUUAGCAAUUUUCCAAAGGGUAUAAAUGGUUAUUAAAUCAUUAUUCCUUGUAUUGUUUGUGGAGAAUGAUGAUGAUUCUACUUAUUUUUAAUUUAUAAUUAAAAAUAUAUAAAUGUGUCUUAAUUAACAAACUAAUCAUGCUUAAGUAUAAUAAUUAAACUACUAAUUAGAGUGUAUAUAUAUAUAUGAAAUUUAAGUGGAAAGUUCUUUCCCAUUUACAACUAUCCAUGCCAAAUAAAAGAAAAGAAAAUCUCAAUCUUCUUUAGUCCAUCUAGACACCAAUUAUCUAAGGUAAUUAAGCUAAACCUUUGAAUAUUUUAUAGAUUCUUGAUCAUGGGAGCUUGAUUUAGCUAGCUUAUGUAUCAAUUCCUCUAAUUGUUAAAUAUUUAACAAGUUGUCAUUAAAAUGAAAUUGGUGAUUUUGAGCUUGAUUUGAAGAAAUCAGUAGUAGUAAGCUUAGAUUAUGAUAAGGGACAAGUUAGAAAUUAAAUUAAACUUAUUAGAUAACUUUGUGACAUUAGGGACUAAAUUGAAUAAAUCAAAAAUUAUCAUAAAAUUAUUUUAUAAAUAUAAAGUAUAAGGUCCCUAAUAAAACAAUGUGAAAUUGGAUUUUAAUCCGAUGUUAGAUAUGGAAAAAUAUGAGUAUCUUUGUUUUGGGGACUAAAAUGAAUUAAAUGCAAAAUAUGUUGGCUAUGUAUUUUAAUGUGACGGGGGAUGUGAAUUGACAUUUUUUAUAAUUGCAUUACCAAGCAUAGCUAAAGACAAUGUCGAGCCAUCUCGAGAGAUAGGAAAAGCAAAAUUUGUACAUGAGUUUCGAUUUGUACUUUUAUGAUUUGAGUUCAAUACAUAAAUUUGUAGCAGAUGUUUGUUUAUUGUUCUGCAAAGCUGAUCACACCAAUAUUGUAACCGUACAUGAUUGCUUAUCUCUUUUCCAAGAUCCCAUAGGGAAAAUGGUGAAUCGAGACAAAUCUUUCAUUUUUUUUCUCCCCUAACACCUAUUCAGAUUCUAUCAGUUCAACUCAUGGAACUCUCAACAAUGUCAAGAGAUUCCAAGUAUUUAGGAUUGCUUUGCAUUUUGGAAAGGGGAAAAAAAAGGCUCUCACUUUCCUCUAAAAAAUCUCUAUGAAGAUUGGCAGUUGCAAAAGGGAAACUUCUAUCACAAGCAGAGCAUGAAGUUUUUAUCAAAUCAAUGGUGUCGUUAUGCUUAUUUACAUCAUGCAAUGUUUCAAAGUCCCUAUUACUCUUUGUAAUGAACCAAAUGUUAUGAAACAAACUUGCAAAUCAAAAUAAGAAAGGCAGGAUGAGGUUUAGAGAUUUUCGAGCCUUUAAUGCAACAUUUCUUAUGAAAUAAGAUUGGAGAAUUUUACAAGAACCAAAUGCUAGAUGGGACCAAAUACACGAGUAGAGGUAGAAUUUUUUGAAUUCUGUUGAUAAAUUUUAUCCUCUCCCUAGCAUUAUCUUUUUCAGUCAUCCUGAAAAAGAAGGGGGAUGUGGAUGAUGGGAGCUUUACAUGUAGAAACAGAGGUGUGAAUUUAAGGCUAGUAAUGAAGAAUAGAGGAACUGGUAAGUCUCCUUAUCUCCCUCUAUGUUUAGGAAUGAAAGAAAGAAAUAGAAUAAUACUCUCAAAGCUUUUGUAUAAUUUAAAGUUCUGGGUUUCAUACUUAGCUGUCAGGAUGAAGGAAGCUCUGGCGUUUGGUCUAGCUAAGCUAUCAAGGAUAAGAAAAUAAGGUGAGUACCUGCACUAUGCCUUCUAGUUGCUAGAUGUUGUGUGAAAUUGCCAUUCUAAUCGUUGAUCGUAAUAGUAGAUAAUUGUUGAAUGGUUAUCUGGUGUAAUGCAUUGCAUAAAGAUGUUAUUUGUGUUAUGCAUGAUUAUUGUGUGCAUAGGUUCUAUUUACAACAUAAACCUUUGCACGUUUGAUAAUUAAGCUAUUUAACUAAUAAAAUUCAAUAGUGAUUAACUUUUAUGUAUUUUACAAUUUAGUCUUUUUUCCUUAAUUAACUAAUCAAUCACUAAAAUUUUUGGACUAGGACUUAAUAUAACUCUAUAAUAUACUCAUAAAAAUUAUAAAAUAAUAUUUACUGACUUGAUCAUCAAAAUUUGGGGUUCCAGAACCACCAUUCUCAGUACUACUGAAAAACAGGUUAUUAUAACUAUUUUAAAGAACGUGUUUUAUGUACCUCAUUUUAGGAGAAACUUAAUUUCUGGAGCAUGUUUAUUUAAUGACAGUUAUUCUGUGACAUUCAAUAAAGGGAUUAUUAUUCAAAGAAAUUAUUCUUUGUAAAUGACUUGCUAUAUUCUAAACGAUGUGCCAACCAAGUCUGUUUGUAAGACACCUUAUGAAUUACGGCACAGAAAGAAACCCGCUCUAAAUCACUUUAGAAUAUGGGGUUGUCCAGCACACGUUCUGGAUAAGGAUGCAAAGAAGUUAGAUGCAUAGGCAGAAUUGUGCAUGUCAGUGUGGAUAUUCGAAAGGAAUAAAGAGUGGAUUAUUCUACAAUCUGAAAAGAUAAUACAAUUAAAGUUUCUACCCAUGCUACUUUUGUAAUAUCCUGAUUUUGGGCCUAGUCGAAAUAGUGGUUUCGUGACCACAAAAUCCGAGAUACAAAUAAUUAUUUUAUGAUUAUUUUAAGGUCUAUGAUAUGAUUACAUGAUUGUGUGAAAAUUUCGUGAAGAAAUUUUAUGCAUAAAGUGCUUAAAUUGAAAUUAGGGACUAAAUUGAAUAAUUUGCAAAGCUUGCAUUCUAGAAGUUUCUAGCAUGAAAUUGUUUUGAAAUAUUAAUUAGGAGGUCUUAAAUAGAAAUUUUACCAACUUAUAAGUCUAUGGACAAAAAUUGGACAUGGAUGGAAUUUUUGGAAAGUUUAGUAGUAAGAGCAUUUUGGUCAUUUAGGGGUAAAAUGAAUUAAAAUACAAAAUUAAAAGCCAAUUUUGCUCAUCUUCAACCCCAUGGCCGAAUAUAGCAAGGAUAAACCAUGGCUAGGGUUUUUCAAGCUUCCAAGCUCGAUUGUAAGUCCGUUCUAGCCUCGUUUUUAAUGAUUUUUACAUUUUUGGAGUCCCGGCAACUUGAUUUAGCUUAUUCUAGCAAUAAUUUAACCUAGGUUUUAUAUUUGGAAAAAUACCCAUAGGUUAAAUUUGUGUAUUUUGGUGUUUUAUGAUAGAAUAUGAGGUUUUAAAUUAUGUUAGACAACUUGUGCUACUCGGUUUUAAGUGAAAACGAGCAACAGGGCUUAAUCGGUACAAAUACCUAAUAGUCAUAAGUACAUGUUAGAGUGAGAAUUUGAUGUUUCCAUAGAAGGGAAAAAUGAUCAGCAUGUCAUAAAACAUAAGAAAAUAGGCUGAAGUUUAAUUUACGAGCUUUGGGACAAAAGUGUAAAUAUGCAAAAGUUUAGGGGCAAAAACUGUAAUUUUUCCAAAAUAUGAUUUUGGGUCAAUUUGAAUAAUGUGAGUCCUAAUUAGACUAUAUUUUAAAUGAUAGAGCAAGGAAAACUGAAAUUCGGGCUAAAAUGGAAAAAUACCAAGUUGUGGACGAAAUGGUAAAAGUAGCCAUUUUCGCAUACGAGGUAAGUUCAUAUGUAAAUGUUGGUAACAUAGUUAUUAUUUUAAAUGUUUUUAUGUUAUUUAAAUGAUAUGAUAAUUAUUAUGAAAUAUUAUACUCGUGAUAAUUGUUUGAUAAUAUGUCAAAUUGUGUGGUAUACUUGGAAAAUGUGAAAUACUACCGAGUAUCGGUAUCGGCAUUCCGUAGAAGAUGGUUGAGACACAUGAUUGGGAAAAAGGUCCCGUUGAACCUUAGGAAUGGAUUAGGAUACAAGUGACAUGUCACUAGGAUAUUUAGACAUCCGAACUCGUUGAGUUGAGUCCGAGUUCACUUAUGGAUGCGAAUGUCCGAACUCGUUGAGUUGAGUCCGAGUUUGAGAGAUGUAACUAGGCAUCCGAGCUCGUUGAGUUGAGUCCGAGUUCACUUGUGGACGCGAACGCCCGAGCUCGUUGAGUUGAUUCUGAGUUCGCUUAUGGGCGGGUUACAUGGUAGCUUGGCUACAUAUGUGGCACUUAUGUGCAAACUUUCCAUAUAUCCGAAUUAUAUUCCGAUGUGUUCAACAGGUAAAGUUCUACUCAAAUGGAGGAAUACUAGAGAAGAAAGGGACGUAUUGGUGAGUGUUGUGAAAUGGAUACUUUGAACAGGUAUGUACUUAACCCUCGGGUUGAAAAAUCGAUAUAACAAUAAUAUGGUAAGAUGAUAAAUGAAAAUAUGAUAUGAAUGUCUUGGUGAUGAUUAUGCAAAUGAUGUUUUAUGUUUGCUUAUAUGGUUAUGUUACUUGCUAUUUGCAUGUGAACUUACUAAGCAUUUAUGCUUACUCCAUCCUUUUCAUUCCUUGUAGUUUUGACAAGCCAGCUCGGAAAUCGGGAACGGUCGGAGGUUCGCUCACACUAUCUGUAUACCAUCUUGGCAUAAUGGCUUGUAUAUUUUGAGUAUGGCAUGUAUAGCAUUAUAAUCAUUUUGUAUAUAUGGUCUUAUGAUAUGGUUAUUGAGUGGUAUGGAAAUGCUUGGUAAUGAUUAGCCAUUGGAAUGGCUAAUCAUGAUCAUAUUUGGUGUUAUGUAUGUCAAAUUGCUAGCUAAUCCAUGGAAACUAUGAAAUAGGUAAAAUUUACCAUAAAAUAGAUUCUAACAGCAGCAGUGAUGUAAAUUUGAAAAAUCACUAAAAAUAGUAGAAAUGGAAUUAAAUGAUGAGUAUGUUAUGAAAUUGAAGCCUAAUGAGUCUAUUUUCAUAUAGAUUGAACAAAACAGGUAUAUGAAUUAUAUUUUAUGAGAUAUUUGAAUUUUUGUGAAACAGGGCCAGAGUGAUUUCUAGAUCCCAUAUUCUGACUUUAAAAAUUUAUCAUAAAUUGUAAAAAUAUAAUUAGAAGUCAUUCUUUAUAUUGAGUCUAGUUUUAGGAGAAAUAAACUUCAUGGUCAUUGAAAUUCUGUACAGAGAGAUAUCUGAUUCGUAAUACACAGAGGUCAGAGCAGUCGAACCCUAAAACAGGGGAGACUUUAACUAAUAAACUGUACUAAUUGGCUCGACCAAAAAUUCUAUAAAAAAUUAGUAAAUAUAUAAAUGAUUCUAUUUUCAGGGAAAAUUGACAGAAUUAUAUUUUGAGUUUCGUAACUCGAGAUAUGAAUUUUUAAGCGACUAUGACGCAGAUUGCUAGUUUAACUGGAAAUUUUAAAAAUAAAUUGUUUGAGCUGUUUAAGUAAUUAACUAAGUCUGUUAACACCUCGUGUUCGACUCCAACGAUGGUCUCGGGUACGGGGCAUUACAUUUGGUGGUAUCAGAGCAGGUUUAGUUGGUUCUCGGACUAACUUAGCAUGUGUAAAAGUUUAGCUAUACAUGCCACUGAUCUGUGAUAGUGUGAUGUCUUCCGACGCGUAUAAGUACCAUCUUAUUUAGACAGGGUACUCUCCAACUGAGCUGCGCUGACCAUGUUCAAUGUUAUGCGAAGGUAUUUGAGUAAAGUUAUGAUUAUGAUAAGUCUCGGUUCAGAAAAGUAUGAAUAAAAGUUUAUGAUACAUAUGUGAUAAUAUGUGAGAUGAAAGUUCAUGUUGUGAUAAAUAUACAUAUUUGCUUAAUGCUCAUACGAUGUAGUGUAUGUGGCUUACUUGAUAAGAUGAACGGAAUAAAUAGAAAGUAGUAGAGGUAUGAAUAAAGGUCAAAAUAUCAUGAUACGAAUGAAAAUGUCCUUGUCUUGAUUGGACGUUGAAUGUUGAUGAAUGUUAAUGAUAUACAAUUUUUAUGAGAUAAAGGAUUAUAAUGAAAUGAACUUAUCUAUGUUAAAUUGUUGGACUGAAUUAUAUGAUUGUAAUGAUAUGUACAUGAUGAUGCACAAAAUGAAAGUUGUGAUUGUGAUGCAAAUAUCUAUGUUUGUUUGGCCUUAUAUGAUGUCAUGAGCAUGAAUUAAUUUAAUUAAAUGAAUGGAUAAGUAAAGUUAUCUAGAAAACAUAGAAUGUACGCAUAAGUAUAUUGUCUAAAUGGGACAAUAGGAAAAUUGGUGUAAGCCAACAUGAAUGUUGCAUUGCCUGAAUGAAUGACAUGAUUUUGAUUAUGUUGCUAUGAUGAUGGAAGUUGUGUCAUAUGUGUAUGUAUAAGAAAGUCGAGUCAGAGGUCCUACAACCCCUCCCCCUUACCGAAGUGGUACUUAUAAUAGAAUUUCAUGAGAUUUGUAUUGAAUAAGUUUCCGGUUGAGAACCCAAAGAGUUCAGUGAUAGAAUAAUUAUAAGUAUGACCAGAGAUUGAAAAUGAGCUGAUAAGUAAAGUCAGAGCCAGUAAAGUAUCGGAUUGAUAUAAAGAUUAUUGGAAUUAUGCAUUGUCCCAGUUAGAGAAGGAAUUCUCUUUGGUAAAUCGAAUUACUCAGGUGCAAGGUCGAGAAAAGUGUAAAUCGAAAUUUAUUCAGAACUGGCCUUCUUUAGUGAAUGGUAUAAUAUGAAAUUUGUAAUAGCAGAACUAGUUGGGGAAAUGAUAUUUGAAAUGUGAACUAUCUGAGUGUGAUAGUUAUGACUGGACAGAUUUAGCAGUCUCUUUUGAGAUGUUCUAUGUGUUUACCCGUUCUCAGAAAUAUUUCUAUGGCUAUUGAUCUUCUGAAGAAAUUCUUGUUAUAUGGGAAUGUCUUCUAAUUUUGGUGUUGGAUGAAAGCAUUGGUAGUCUGACUGGUUUAUAAUUUAUAUUGCUCUAUUUCAUCGGGUAUUCUAUUUCAUUUCGUCUGAUAAGAAUUGAUGAGAGAAUACAUAAGAUAUUAUGUUUCUGUUUCUUCUACUUGAUGCUUCAUCUGAUAUAUAUGUAUGGGAAGAUAUAUCGUUCUUGUUAUAUUUGAUUCCAGUGGGAUUAAAUGAUGUUUUCUUUUGGACUUUCUUUCUUUGAAGAAUUAUCGGGGUAUUCUGUAUUUUCUCUGUGAGUUUGGUUUUCGAUUCUCCGGCAUAGUAUCAUAUCUUGGGUUUCUUUAUCCUGGAUCUUUUUAUUCUGGAUUUCUUUAUUCUGGGUUUCUCUAUCUUGGAUUUCUUUAUUCGGUUUUCUUGUUAUCUUUGUUCCAUAAUUUGUCAAUUAAGACUCAUGUUCGAAGUGCGUUCUUCAGCUCGUGAUAAUCAUGUCAAAUAUGACUAUACUUCUAAUUUGAUCUUGGUAAUGUGGUGAUUUUAGUAUUGGGAUUUUUCUAAUUUCUGUGUAAGGAUUUGACAUCAGUAAAGGCAUAAGUGAUAAAAGCGCGAGUUUCAGUCGGUAUGGUGAAUUAUUUAUUUGAAAGAUUUCAUGUGACAAUUAUGUCAGGAUUAUUUUUCUCAAGUCUGAUAAUAGAAUUUCAUUUUGUACAGAUAAAAGAGUAAAUAGUCUGAACGAGAAGUGUAUAUUUAUUAGAAAGAGUUGGAUAUUAGUUAAAGUCACUACGAAUGAUAAGGUUUUCGUCUUGUGAAAGCUGAAAAGUUUAUUACAUGUUGACAGAGUUCGGAUAGAUGAGAAUAUCAGUAACCGAAGCGUCUGAACUAGACUAGUCUACAUUGAGCAAAGACUUCCUGACUUUCAGUAAUGUACUGUUGUAUGAAUUGUGAACUGUUUCAAGACAGUGAGGUAAUGUGAUAGUUUAAAGCAUUCGAUCUUACAUAAAAUCUGAGUUGUUAAAGAGGUUAAAGCCGAGCAUUGGGAUCUAUCAAAAUUAUCCUUGCCAGUGUUGAUAUUGAGAUGGAAAUGAGAAGGAUUAUUCUUCAGGCCAUAUCAGAAUUAUUUCCAUGGCGGAAAGAGGAAAAUGUGAUGUAUCCUAUUGUUAAAUGUUUGGCGAGAUCUAUAAAUCAUAUCGGUAUUGAAUGAAUUCCUACUCAUCAGAUUCACGGAAUUUCAGGUCUUUUUGAUUGUUGAAUUUCUUGGAAUUCUAGUCUCCAUUAACCAAAUUGAGAUCUGGUUUUAUGUCAAGAUGACAAGGGAAACGAAGAAAGGUUGAAAAUUUAAGAACAAUUAAGAGAUGAGUUCGUAAACUUUCAGAAUAUAUGAGAAAUUAAUGAGAUAUAUUGGAGGCACCGCCUGAGUGAAAGUUCUUCAGCACCGAAUAUGAAAUUGAGGAAUCUAAGUGAAGACCACUUUUCUGGUAAGAUUUUCGGGGACGAAAAUCCCUAAAGAGGGGGAGAGUUGUAAUAUCCUAAUUUUGGGCCUAGUCGGAAUAGUGGUUUCGUGACCACAAAAUCCGAGAUACAAAUAAUUAUUUUAUGAUUAUUUUAAGGUCCAUGAUAUGAUUGCAUGAUUGUGUGAAAAUUUCGUGAAGAAAUUUUAUGCAUAAAGUGCUUAAAUUGAAAUUAGGGACUAAAUCGAAUAAUUUGCAAAACUUGCAUUCUAGAAGUUUCUAGUAUGAAAUUGUUUUGAAAUAUUAAUUAGGAGGCCUUAAAUAGAAAUUUUACCAAUUUAUAAGUCUAUGGACAAAAAUUGGACAUGGAUGGAAUUUUUGGAAAGUUUAGUAGUAAGGGCAUUUUGGUCAUUUAGGGGUAAAAUGAAUUAAAAUACAAAAUUAAAAGCCAAUUUUGCUCAUCUUCAACCCCAUGGCCGAAUAUAGCAAGGAGAAACCAUGUAUAGGGUUUUUCAAGCUUCCAAGCUCAAUUUUAAGUCCGUUCUAGCCUCGUUUUUAAUGAUUUUUACAUUUUUGGAGUCCCGGUAACUUGAUUUAGCUUAUUCUAGCAAUAAUUUAACCUAGGUUUUAUAUUUGAAAAAAUACCCAUAGGUGAAAUUUGUGUAUUUUGGUGUUUUAUGAUAGAAUAUGAGGUUUUAAAUUAUGUUAGACAACUUGUGCUACUCGGUUUUAAGUGAAAACGAGCAAAAGGGCUUAAUCGGUACAAAUACCUAAUAGUCAUAAGUACAUGUUAGAGUGAGAAUUUGAUGUUUCCAUAGAAGGGAAAAAUGAUCAGCAUGUCAUAAAACAUAAGAAAAUAGGCUGAAGUUUAAUUUACGAGCUUUGGGGAAAAAGUGUAAAUAUGCAAAAGUUUAGGGGCAAAAACUGUAAUUUUGCCAAAAUAUGAUUUUGGGUCAAUUUGAAUAAUGUGAGUCCUAAUUAGACUAUAUUUUAAAUGAUAGAGCAAGGAAAACUGAAAUUCGGGCUAAAAUGGAAAAAUACCAAGUUGUGGACAAAAUGGUAAAAGUAGCCAUUUUCGCAUACGAGGUAAGUUCAUAUGUAAAUGUUGGUAACAUAGUUAUUAUUUUAAAUGUUUUAUGUUAUUUAAAUGAUAUGAUAAUUAUUAUGAAAUAUUAUACUCGUGAUAAUUGUUUGAUAAUAUGUCAAAUUGUGUGAUAUACUUGGAAAAUGUGAAAUACUACCGAGUAUCGGUAUCGGCAUUCCGUAGAAGAUGGUUGAGACACAUGAUUGGGAAAAAGGUCCCGUUGAACCUUAGGAAUGGAUUAGGAUACAAGUGACAUGUCACUAGGAUAUUUGGGCAUCCGAACUCGUUGAGUUGAGUCCGAGUUCACUUAUGGAUGCAAAUGUCCGAACUCGUUGAGUUGAGUCCGAGUUCAAGAGAUGUAACUAGGCAUCCGAGCUCGUUGAGUUGAGUCCGAGUUCACUUGUGGAUGCGAACGCCCGAGCUCGUUGAGUUGAGUCCGAGUUCGCUUAUGGGCGGGUUACAUGGUAGCUUGGCUACAUAUGUGGCACUUAUGUGCAAACUUUCCAUGUAUCCGAAUUAUAUUCCGAUGUGUUCAACAGGUAAAGUUCUACUCAAAUGGAGGAAUACUAGAGAUGAAAGGGACGUAUUGGUGAGUGUUGUGAAAUGGAUACUUUGAACAGGUAUGUACUUAACCCUCGGGUUGAAAAAUCGAUAUAACAAUAAUAUGGGAAGAUGAUAAAUGAAAAUAUGAUAUGAAUGUCUUGGUGAUGAUUAUGCAAAUGAUGUUUUAUGUUUGCUUAUAUGGUUAUGUUACUUGCUAUUUGCAUGUGAACUUACUAAGCAUUUAUGCUUACUCCAUCCUUUUCAUUCCUUGUAGUUUUUACAAGCCAGCUCGGAAAUCGAGAACGGUCGGAGGUUCGCUCACACUAUCUGUAUACCAUCUUGGCAUAAUGGCUUGUAUAUUUUGAGUAUGGCAUGUAUAGCAUUAUAAUCAUUUUGUAUAUAUGGUCUUAUGAUAUGGUUAUUGAGUGGUAUGGAAAUGCUUGGUAAAGAUUAGUCAUUGGAAUGGCUAAUCAUGAUUAUAGUUGGUGUUAUGUAUGUCAAAUUGCUAGCUAAUCCAUGGAAACCAUGAAAUAGGUAAAAUUUACCAUAAAAUAGAUUCUAACAGUAGCAGUGAUGUAAAUUUAAAAAAUCACUAAAAAUAGUAGAAAUGGAAUUAAAUGAUGAGUAUGUUAUGAAAUUGAAGCUUAAUGAGUCUAUUUUCAUAUGGAUUGAACAAAACAGGUAUAUGAAUUAUAUUUUAUGAGAUAUUUGAAUUUUUGUGAAACAGGGCCAGAGUGAUUUCUGGAUCCCCUGUUCUGACUUUAAAAAUUUAUCAUAAAUUGUACAAAUAUAAUUAGAAUUCAUUCUUUAUAUGUACAGAUUUCUUAUUGAGUCUAGUUUUAAGAGAAAUAAACUUCAUGGUCAUUUAAAUUCUGUACAGAGAGAUAUCUGAUUCGUAAUACACAGAGGUCAGAGCAGUCGAACCCUAAAACAGGGGAGACUUUAACUAAUAAACUGUACUAAUUGGCUUGACCAAAAAUUCUAUAAAAAAAUUAGUAAAUAUAUAAAUGAUUCUAUUUUCAGGGAAAAUUAACAGAAUUAUAUUUUGAGUUUUGUAACUCGAGAUAUGAAUUUUUAAGCGACUGUGACGCAGAUUGCUAGUUUAACUGGAAAUUUUAAAAAUAAAUUGUUUGAGCUGUUUAAGUAAUGAAUUAAGUCUGUUAACACCUCGUGUUCGACUCCGGCGAUGGUCUCGGGUAUGGGGCGUUACAAAUUUCCUUGGAAAAAGCUACUUAGGUAAGUUUAAACCUCGAAGUAAAGUGAUACUCAAGGAACUUUCAAGAGUUGUAGAAAGACUUGCAAACAAGCAAAAGCAUAAGGGAAUUCAUCGUAGUGGGCGUGUUUC